CGCAGAGCUGAGGAGCGAAGGGGAAGGACUGGGCUGCUGCGGCCCAGCAGCCGUCCUCAAUGUUCCACACUUGGCAGCGCCCUCAGAUUCAGGUAAAUAAAAGGGAUUCUAGACUUUCAUCUUUGUGCCUUGCAGCCAAACCUGACCCCUGGGGCCUGAGAGGCACCAGGUGCCUCUGUGAGCAAAGGCCUUUGUUCCUCACACUUCCUCUCUCAAAGCCUCUCAGCUGGGAUGGCCUUCAGAGGCCAGGAGCGCUAUGAAAAUCAAGGUCCCAGAGCUGAGGAGGGGGCCAGUGCAACUUUGACUCAGUUAAGUGACUGGGGGUGGGGGGUGGAGAGCAGAUGCAAAGGCCCUAAGGCAGAAUCAACUUGGGGUAUUCAAGGAACCACCAGAAGAGCACUAAGCUGGGGAUAAGGUUAGUAGUUGUUACAAUUUGAAUAUGAGGUGUCCUCCAAAAGGUCAGAUGCUGACACAGGAGGUGUGUGAUUACACUUUGAGAGCUGUAGCCUAAUCAGGGAAUUAUUGGGUGGCAACUGCAGACACAUCCUGUAUGGUUGGAGGAGGUGGGUCACCAGGGGUGUGCUUGGGAGCUGUAUGUUAUGUCCCUGACUCCUUGUGCUGUCUGUUUCUGCAUCACUAUGAGAUGAGUGGCUUUUCUCUGCCACAUUCUUCUCCUAUCAUAUUCUGCCUCAGGCCCAGAGCAACAUUAAACCACCAAAGACAGAACCUCUGAAACUAGGAACUAAAGUAAACUUUUCUUCCUCUACAUUGUUCUCAUCAGGAUUUUGGGUCACAGUGACAAAAAAGCCAACUAACACAUGAGUCAAGUGUAUGUAGAGAGGUCUUUGGCCUUGGAGGCCAGUGCAAGGAAUUUGCAUUUGUUCUGCUGAGAUAAGUAGUAACUCCUAGAAAAGGGUAACAUUGAGAAGAGACAUGGGGCUAGUCUGGGUUUGCAAGAAGCAGACACCAAGAAGGAAUUAAAUAUGUAAGGGUUUAUUAGGGGAAGUGCUUUAUUGAGAUAAAAUGGAGCUGGGCAAGAUAAGAUCUGAUUCCUAGUGGUCACUCAGUAAGCUUAAAAAUAUCUGUCAAAUACAUUUUAGAUGGGUGGUCCCUGGUGGCCAUGCAGUCUGAGGAAGAUUCUACAAAGCCCUGGGGUAUCUUUGAGCUGUCCAGGUGAUUCUUUAUCCUCCAGAAAUGGGCCUGUCUUUGUGUCCUGCCUUUUUUCAGACUCUGGCUAGGUCUGGCCCCUGGGACACAUGGCCUCUUAUAAAUGCAGGGGGCUUUCAGAUCCAGACAUCCACAGCCCUCAGUGCACUGGGCACCCAGGUUGCUGGUCUGCAAGAUGCAUCCUCAUGUUGCCCACCUGGCUGGCAUGGUAGAUAUGCCCUUGGGCUGUUUCAAGAUUAGCUGGGAAGGUGAGCAAGAGGCAUGAUGAUGACCACAAAAGGUUGCAGCUCCAGAACCCCACCCAGGGUUCCCAGAUGGAACUCGGUGGGGCCAGACAGAAGUAUGUGCCUGCCAGGGAGUCAGGCACUCUCUGGCUCCAUCCCUGACACCCAGCCUCCUGACACCCAGCAAAUCCUCUGUCUCCCUAAAGGAAGUCAGGCCUGUAUCCUGGCUUCUGGCUUUUGUGCCAUUUUUAUAGCAUGGACUUGAUUUAGGUGUUAGGGUCUUGCUAAGAAUAUGCCCUGACACUUGAAAGAACCUUUAUUAUUAUUCUAAUUUGUGAAGAACUGGUUGUUGGUAUUUUCUUUCCCUUCUCCCCUUUCUUCUCUUCAGAGUCAGGCUGGAGCUAGGUCAUUGUUGUUAAUUUUAGAUCUGAAACUAUAUCUGGCAUGGACUGGUGUCCCCACACUUUCACUUCUUAAAACAGGAAGGAAGGCCCCAGCUGGAGAACUUGGGAGACACAAGAAACUGCUCAGGGCAGUGUUGCAGUGGAAAUCAUUAAAUAUACCUAGGAAGCACCAGAUUCAGAGAGAGUUUUUGUGUGGUUAAAUUAAAAAAAUCCCCCUGUCCCUCACCAUCUGAGGGCCAGGUCUACACCCAUCAUGGGUUAGAGAGUGGGAGGUAAGACCUGAAUGUGUGGGUUCAAAUCCCAGCUCUGCCACUUUCUAGCCUACAUGGUUCUUCUCUGCCUCAGUUUCCUCAUCUGUUAAAUGGGUGAUAUGAUCUAUUUUGGCUGGUAGGGGAUUAAUGAAGGUAGCCUAUGUAGUUUUCACUGGAAUGUCUGAGGCAGGCAUUGCCUUCAUAUGUGUUAGCUCUUAGGACAGGUUGAGCUUUCCCAAUCCAAAAAUCUAAAAUUAGAAAAAUCCAACAUGUUUUGGGUGACAACACAAUGCCCCAAAUGGAAAAUUUUAUACCAUAAAAUUCUGUUUCAUGAUUCACAAAAUUACUAAAUAUAUGAUAUAAAAUUGCCUUCAGUCUCUAUGUUUAAGGCACAUAUAAAAAUGAAGAAAUUUUAUGAUUAGACUUGAGUCUCAUCCCUAGGAUUUCUUAUUAUGUCUAUGCAGAUAUUCCAAAAUCUGGAAAAAAAAAUCCAAAAUUUAAAGUGCUGCUAGUCCCAGGCAUUUUGAAUACAAUUAAUUUCUUUUUUCUUUUUCUCAAAUUCAAGACCAUAAAUCCUGUGGGGUAGAAUAAAGGGUUUGGGGCCAGACCUUGCUGGAUUCUCCCCAGCCUUGUUUUAUGAUCUCUGACUCACCUAUUUUUUUUCCUAAUGUAAAAUGGGAUCAUAACUGCACUUACUCCAGGGAUUAGUGGUGUAUUCAGGUCAAAGCACAUUAGAUAGGAGCUGAUCUUGCACAUCAGUGUUUUUUGCUGGGGCAACACUUUCCUGGAGAUUAUUCCACACUUCCUGUGAGGAUUGUGGCUGGUGCUGGCUUCAGUGGAGCACUUAGUAAAUGCUAACAGGUAGCACUCCCUCAAAUCCAGGUAUGCUGGUGAUGGCCCUGCCCUUCUUUCCUUCUUGCUCACAGUGUGAGCAUUCCCCACAGAACCCCUUACUUGCUGGAUCAGUAUCUUCUUUUCCCUUCAGUGGGUCUUGAGCAUACAGUCCUGGGCUGUUGGGAAAUUUCCUUUGGAUUCCAGCUUCAGGGAGCCAGCCCAAUGUCCAGCAAGGUCUGGCCCCAAACCCUUUAUUCUACCUCACAGGAUUUAUGAUCUUGAAUUUGAGAUAAAGAAAAAAGAAAUUAAUUGAAGUGGGAGUGGGGACAUGCCUGGAGUUACUUGAGACAUUUAAAAACCAAUUUAUAAAAUGACUCAGUUAAAAAUUGCUGCAGGCCAAGUGGGUACUUGCUGCUGCUCAGAUCGUGUAUGUUUUGAGCAAGAAGCAGGGAGACCAUCAAUUUCAUUUUGACUGUCAUGGUGUGUCAAUUAUGAAGGAUCACUAGUGUUACCAUUACCCCCUUUGUUUGCAGUGAAGGGGAUCCUUUGCUUCUCAGUCCUCAACGUGAUGAGAAAAUGGUGCUAUUUGCUGGCAUGCAAGAAGCCACGGCAAGCACCCUAAGCCUCACCACAAUGCAGGAGUCAGAGGCUUUGCUGGUUUGGAAAGCUAGAGUUGCUGAAAUUUAAGUUUUGAUUUAUUUUGUUCACCCAUCACGUUUGGCCUUAGUUUUGUUUUUAAUUUGAAGAGAAGUUGAAAUUGCUUUAUCUUGCGCUUUUAACAUCUCCACCAAAUUGCCAAAAGAAGGAGAAAUGCUCCGUUUCCUUUUUAAAUGUUAAUGAUGAUGUUAAUAAAGCCUUUCCUGACAUAUUUGAGGAGCUCCUCCAUCUCCAGGGAGUUGUGCAGUGAUGGGUUUAGUUCUGAAUGGAUGAAGAGUUCCUGAGAGAUAGUGUUUGUAAUUAGAACCAUUACUUGGUAUCUGUACCUUAUUUGACCUGUGGUUCCACAUGCCUUGGAUGUGCAUGCACCAUGAUGGUUUCAUAGAUACGAACGCACACUCAGGCCCAGUCACUUCGGUUGGUAGUACAUAUUGUGAGAAAAAAAAAAAAAAUGGAGGCAUCAUUAAGGAGGAGAAAGUGUUUGCCUUUAGUUCCUGCAUUAUCCUGUACAGGGGCUCUUGAGCUUUGGAAGCCUGUUCUCAGUACAGGAGAACAACUCCCCUGUUUGCAGCAGGAGACUUCGGUGCACAGUGACAACACUGUAGUUCAAGAGGAAACCAGCAAUGCUGCACCAUAGGCUUCAUACACCAUGGCUGUUUGCCAGUUUUAAACAUAACUAGUUGCAGAUGAAGACCUCCUUGAAAUGCAGGCUUGUUGGGCUUGUUAAGAAUUUUAAGCUUGGAUGGAAGAGCCCUAGUGCUGUCUGUUUCCAUGCAGGAUGAUGAUUACUAGGCAACAGGUGAUUAUCAACCAAGGAUGCCAUGGUUAUACUCUGCAAGGUGGUAUUCCAGUGGCAAACAGCUGUAUAAACUCUUGUAAACAGGAUCUACUGACAAAACCCUCUAGCCAAAUUUGGAAUCUGGCUUUAUUAUCCAGCAAGUAAAAGCUGAGUUAUAAUUGGCAGACUUCUGGUACUGGCAGUUGUCUACUUGUUUCUAUAGAAACUGAUUUGGAAGUCAGAGCUGCACAAAGGGAAAGGGUAAGUUUCUUUUAAUUCCAUAUUUAUAAACCCAUAUAUUAUUAACUGAGGCAUGGUGUCAUUUUCCACAUAAAGAUAUACAUAAGUGAAAUAGAUCUCAAAUAUGAAGUACAUAUUUCACUUGUGUGGAAACUGAUAUCAAGUCAUUAAAUAUUAAAAGGGUUUAAAUAUGGAUUUAUUUUUCUUGUGACUCUCACUUCACAUUUCUUCAAAGAAUGAACAAUUUAAUUCUCACUUUCAGUUAUUUUUAAUUUGGGAGGUCAUAAAACUGAUUUUUAUCCUUUUAUAUCUGAUUUUAUUCUACUUUUCUGAUAAGUGAAAGUUGGUAUAAAAUAUGUACAGAGGACAUUUUAAAAGUCUGCAAGAAUUAUUAAAAAAAAAAAAAACCCUGCUGCACAAGAGAAGGAAAUGAAGAUUUCAGGGCCUGAGUGAGGGGGGCCAGGCUCUUGAGAUUGCAGGGAAGGGAGUCUAAGCAGUCUAAUUCUGCUUUUUCUUAGGCAACCUCUACCUUGGUGGACCUGCAAGCAGCCUACCCAGUAGAUUGGUCCAUGCUUUCUUGUUCUCAGCUCUUCAGGUGUCCAUGCUGUUAAACACCUAAGCAGGUCUCAGUAGUGGUGCUCUGUUUCAUCACCUAUAGUCUUUCUCAGCCCCCAUGGUGGAAAGUCCUUGCGAUACUUGCUACACUGACUCGAAGCUGGCAUGUUUCCCUGUGGCUUCCAAUGUGGGUGCCUGUCUUUCUGAUUCCCUCUUUUUACCCCAGAUGUGCACUUCAGGCCUUGAGGACUAUGUGAUGGGGACUUUCAGUUCUGAUGUUGACAUCAUUAAUUCCCAGGUAGGCCCCUGUGUGGAUGAUUCUAGAUUCUUAGGCUACACUUGACUUAACAUGACCCUGGUCUUAUGCAAACUUUUCUAAAAGUUCCCAGGUAGAUUUUUAAAAAGAUGACAGUAAUUUUGCACUAGAGAAAGACAAAAUGCACCCAGACCCUCUGAAUGUAUUAGUAUCUUAAGGAUGCUGUAACAAAACACCACAAACUGGAUGGCAUAAAACAACAGAAACAAAUUUGCUAAGGCUGUCUUUGAACUUGGAAUUCUCCUGCCUCAGCCUCCCCAACUGCUGGGAAUACAAGUAUGCACCACUGUACCCAGCCAGGAAUGCAGAUGUUUCAAUUGUCAAGAAUGUAAAUGCAACACUCAGUCUGAAUGAUGGAACAAGUGCCACCCUGACCUGCUGUAAGAACAUCCAAGGUAAGAACACCAAGGCCAUUUGGUGUUAUAAAACAGCUUUUUUUCAUGAGUACCAUGUCUGCAUUGAGGAAAGAAAUGCCUUUCUCAGUGUCAUUGAAAGCUUUUUGAAUAUAAUUGGCUAAACCUUCCAUGUACCACAUUUAUAUCCUCUAGACCAAUUUUUGGGAUAAACUGUGAAGCUAAAUGAUCAUACCAGUGAAAAACAGUCCCCAUCUAUGCUUGAGACUGGGGAUGUUUGCAGAUUGACUUAUUUUUUGUGUCCACCUCCCUUGCAUUCUUAGGUACCCAACAAUACAUUUUCCCAUCCAGCCUGGAGGAACCCAGAGCCAUAAGUUAGUCCCACAUAUCGACUGAUUCCCUUUGGGGGCUGGCCAUCUAAUUUCAGGUCUCAAGAACCAGCUAGUCCCAAACUAAUCAUAAGGCUAUAAAAUCACAAUAUGUUGACAUCAAGAUUUUGAGGUCUAUCCUGACUUCUAAAUCGAACUAGGCCAUGUAUCCCAAGUGUGGUUAUGUUUUUUUGCAACAAAUUGAGGUCUUCUGAUUGAGAUAUCCUGUGGUUGGCUUAAACCAUAUUCAUCCCAAUUUUUAAAAAAUAUUUUUAGUUGUGUAUGGAUACAAUAUCUUUAUUUAUUUAAUUUUUUUUGAGGUGCUGAGGAUCGAACCCAGGGCCUUACACAUGCAAGGCAAGCUUUCUACCACUGAGCCACAACCCUAGCCCCAUUCAUCCCAAAUUGAUAGUAACCUUCCUUAUGUCUUUGCUAUUCUGGCAUUCCUAAUGGAAGAUAAGAUGAAGAUGGACUCAAAUGUGGCUUAAUGACUGCAAACUUUUGGAAAUUGGUUUGCUCUAAAGUGAAAUUUUUUCCAUGACCUGAAUGUGACAAAGUCUCAUUUAGAGGUCAUAAUUUAACAUCUGCAUAAGAAGUGAUUUAUAAUGAGUCCAUCUUUCUUCUUUGAUUCUAGAAUUAGAGACAAUAAUUUUACCUAGUCAUUCCUUUGUAGGGAGAAUCCAACAAGCUAGGGUCAAUCAAUUGUUCUGAUUGUUCAAUGGCUGACAUCAAAAGAAAAGAACUCAGUGUCUUGAGUGGAAAACUUAGACAAGCUCCUAAGUUUAUUAAGAUAUCAUAAUGGAGUUUGAUAGUUAGCCAUUACCAAAAAAAGAAUAAGUGAAUAUUUUAUCUUCCCAAUUGCAACAUGGAAAAGAAGUAAUGUGUCUUAUAUUGGGUAGUCUAUUGACUCCCAAUACCAAGCAGGAAUCAGCAGAAAAGUAUCCAAGGUUGAGACACUAUAGGUGGUGCCAGCAUCCUAAAGGAAAUGAAUGACACUAUUUCAUGCCUCAAGUUACCCUCAGUCCAGCCCCAGCGAUGGUGACUGACUGGGAUGCUGGCUGACUCCCAAGGCUUGCUCAUUCUUGGGCCAUCAUUUUGAGAUUGUCUGAUCUGAGGUUCCUUCAGCCUCCAGGGCAGUGAACUUUCCAGUGGCCUCUCCUGCCACAUAUAGGGCAAGGAGUCUUUGAAGCCUGCCCUUAAUUAGGUGAUCUUUCUUCUAAUGUUCUUCCUUUCUGUAACAAUGACAGAUAUUUUCAGAGACUUAAGGGUCCUGUGGAGGAAGAAAGGGGUGACCAUUAAGAACUGCAGUCAAUAAUUGCACUGGUCUUUUGUCCCUCAUUUCUCCUUUUAUCUAUCCAUUAAAUGUUCAUCCUGGUCUAAUCAUAAAAGAUCUGUGGGCUACCUUCAAGGGAAAUCCCAGGGCCUACUACCAAUUUUGUAAUUUCUAUCUAAUAUUUGGAGCAAAUUGAAGAAUGAACUUAUCUUUUAAAAUAAGUUGCCCUUCAUGAGAUGUAGGAUCUAAGGGUGCAUAAUUUUACUAAGCCUUCUUCAAUCUUUCUACAAAAGCCCUGGGAUUUCACUCCAAUCUCUGAUCAAUUGUUGCCAGUUUCAUAUAGUUAAUAGUUGUCAUCCUACUGUUUUUAAGUUCUACUUUGAGACAAAUAAUCAUAUGAUUGUUAUGCCACCCCUGGUGAUUCAUCAUAAAUCCAUUGAGGAUGCUCAGUUGAAAAAGCAGACGACCCACAGGGUAUAGAGUUAGUGAUAUGUAAAUCAUUCCCCCAAACCCUAGAAGCUUCUGUGUCCUGAUGUCUCUCUCUGUCAGUUACAAUAUGACUCAAAAUUACUCGUACAUCUCUAGAUUACCUCAAAACCUGGGUUAAAUGUUGGAAUUCCUCUAUAUAUUUAUCAGGAUCAUCAGAAAACCUUCCUAAAUCUUCUUGAUUUCUUUUAGAUCUUUCAUAGAAAAACACACCUGCAUUUGUCUGAUCCAGAUUCUCCAUUUGUCUCUUGUAAUGGGUGUAAACUGGCAAUGGGCUUGGUAGGGAUAGGCUUACUGUGAAGGAAACCAGAAUGGGGGGAGUGGGAGCAGUAGAUAAUGGUGGGUACAAAGGAAAGUGGGAGAAUUGGGUUUUGACAGCUCUGAGUGUUAAGUACAUUGUUGAGAGAGAGAAAGGGUUAGUUUUUGGGGGUCCCCUAGGCCAGCAAUGUUUUGACUCAUCAUUGCUAGAAGGGCCUAAUCAAUGCUGCAUUUAGCACAUAAAUCUUUUGAUACUUUAGUAAAAAGAAAGCCUGUAGAGAGGGGACUUCUGGCCAUUUUACUUCCUUUCUGCAACAAGAAUCUCAUAGUUAAAGAGUAUUAUAGUUUCAACUUCUGUUAGUGGACCGUUUAUUUUUAUCCCCUAAUUCAUACAGAGGCCAAUUAACAUGACAAAAGAAAAUUAAUCUCUUCUUGAGGGUCUCCAGGCAAAAAAUGUCCUAGUUUCACAGGAUGUACUGCAAGGAGGUGGUAGCUUAUAUCAAUGGUUGAUUUGCUGUCUGUAAAAUAAAGCCAACCAGGUAUAGUGGCAUACUCCUGUAAUCUCAGGGACCAGGGAGGGUGAGGCAGGAGGAUUGCAAGUUCAAGGUCAGCCUCAGCAAUAUAGCAAGGCCCUCAGCAACUUAACAAGACCUGCCUCAAAAUAAAACAAUAAAAAGUGAUGUGGAUGUGCCUCAGUAGUUAAGUGCCCCUUGGUUCAGUUCCUGUUACCCCCCGCACACACACAAACACACAAAAAAAUAAUUAAAUAAAUAACAGCCUGAUGAUAUGCCAGGAGUUCUUCAGCAGUACUGACCUGAAAGCCAGAUGACUACAUAAAGGCAUUCCUCACAUAACAUUGCAUUUUAAACCCAUGUAGUGGUUCCCUAGAAUGAGUGUAGUAUGUGUGUCCAAGUUCAGCAACUCAUGCCUUGUUUUCUGAACUCUGUUUCUCAAACCUAUAAUCUUAUUUAAUAAACAUGUUUAAUAACCUUAUGCCAGACAAUUGAUAUGACUUGGGAAGUGACCCUUAAUUCUUUUUCAGAGAACUUGAAGAGUAGGAUGGGCCUGAUGUUGAAAAGUAGAGGGAGCCAGAGGUUUUUUUGUCACCCUGUUGGAAUCAGAGCCAGUCCAAAAAUAACAACAUGAUAAAUGACAUAGAAAAGAGGAAGGAUCAUUAUAUUGCAGGGUUUUCCCUUGGAAUAAACCCAUGAGGGGACAUGAUGUCCAUGCAAUGUAUUAUACAGUAAAAAACUACCAUUUUGGUAAAGAAAUGAUACCAGCUGAGAAAAAAGUUUCUUAGCUGUGCGAUAUCUUAUACUAACUAAUUCACCCAAAUUAUAAGUAGGUAAAGAUGGUAAACUCAUUGGCCUUCAGUUUCUGGAAUAGCCUCAAAAAGAAGGUGGUAUGAUGCUCAUUACUGAAGAGAGUCAGGGGUCACUAUAAGGCAACAGCCACAACAGUAGAGUCUCAUUGCCUCUCUGGUGGCCUUGGUCAAAAAGAUGCCAUAAAAAGCAAGAGAGAGUGUACAUCUGCAUGUCAGGAGGAGGAAAAAAGGUGCCACUACAGUUACUUACUGUAAGAAAAGAUGGCACUCAUGUGACAUAUGGAACAGGUUUUGACAAAGAAAAGUGUACACAGAGAAGCCCAAAGCAAAAGGCAAGAUAUCAGGGGUUAAGUUAGACAUCAUCUCAACCAAAGCUGGGAGAGAAACAAGGUGAAGUUCAUAUACCUGCCCUGUAGAUGGCUGUUGAUCUGAAUGGAGGCACCAGGUUAGACAUCACAGGAGAGUGGAAAGUUGAAGCUCCAAACUUCAGUUCUUGUGUUCCAAGGAAAGAAAGCCAGACACUGAAAGCCAUGCACGAGAACUUUCUCAUAAGUAAAAAGUAAAGUAAGGCUCAAACAAAGAGCCCUCUCAUGAGAGUGAGUCAUCUCCCAGCAGAGAAUGAGAAAUGAAAUAGUGCUGUUUGUAAAUGUACUGCUGUUUUAUGGUUGCCUUGAGAACUGGGGUCCACCUUCAGCACUCUUUACCAAUCGGGGUGUUCAGCUCCUUCAUGUCAGGUGGUAGAGUUUUUCAUACUAGUGGCCAUCAUAUUAAAGGGGGGGUGUAUUUACAAGUCAGUCCUAUGUUAAUGUGAUUUUGGGGGUCAGUGACUAGACAGAAUUUACUUUUGUGCUCCUGAAUUACUAAGAAAAUUUCUCUUCAGGAAUAUUUUGAGGCACCUAUGGUCAUAAGAACGUAUAUGUGAAUAUAAAAUUCUAUUUUCAGAAGAUCCCAUUGUCUAGCUUUACAAUGAUACCAACUGACCCUGUGAAGAGUUAGUAAUUACCCCACUAAUCUUACUUGAUAUAUUUCUUAAUUGGCUCCCUUUUUUGGGUUUAUUUGUAUACCUGGUUUUUUUCCUGCAUUUUCUGAUUACCCAUUUGCCUUAAAAAAAUAAAGAGCACCUUAAAGUAACUUAAAGAAAACCCAUGAUAUUGCCCUGUUAUUGCUUUGCAUUUCACUGUUUAUUACUCACUACUACUUGAUGUCUCCCACCCACUGAGAGAACUAACAAUGACUACCUUUGGUUUGGGCAGGUACAGGUCAGAGGAGGGUCCCUUUGCCUUGGAGCCGGCAAGCUCCAUGGCAGAUGAACAAGAUUCCCCCUGCCACCCACAGGGACCAUACAGGAAAGCAAGUAGAGUGUGGGGGUUAGCCACAGAGCCAGCUUUGGCAUGAUGCCCCUCCUCACACUGAACCAGCCAGACUUUGUUAAAUGAUGAAUUUUCUCACUGAUCUCCAAUAGCUCCAUGGGAAAAUUGGAUAAAAAUCCUCCCAGAUGAGAAAUUAAAGCAGAGCACAACAGUCAAAUUUGCCCCAAGAUAGGCAAGCAAGGGGACUGGAAUGCAGGCUCCACCACCCUGGGUCAGAGCACUAUCUACUGGGUGGCAAAGAACUAGGCACAAUUGGGCACUUGCCUGGGCAGGCACAAAAUUGUGGCUUCACCAGACUGAGGUUCUGAUGGAGUUGGUAUCUGCUGCAAACCUCCAAUUAAACAUAUUAGCUUUAAAAACAGGAAACCAUAAAUUCUAAACACUGAAAUAUUCCCUUUGCUAAUAAUACUGCGGUACAAAAUUUGGAUGUCUUUUUCAGGUUUAAAAAUGUAAUGACAUAAUUAAAUAUAGUUACAGCAUAAUAUUAGAAACAACAAAAAUGCAAACAUGGCAUUCAGAUUUCUCACAAAACACAUUUUUCUCCAGAUUAAAUUUUUUUUAUUCAGAUAUAUUAUUUGUAUAUCUUUAUGGGGUGAAUCACAGCAAUUCAAUAUAUGUAUACAAGUUUUAUCAUGCAAUAUUAACUUUACUUCCAGAGGUCACUAGAGUGUAAUCUCCCUUUAGUCUUUUAUGAUUAAUGACUUUGAAUAGAAUUCAUAUUCUAUUCUUUGAAUAGAAUUCACUACUGUGUCAAGAGAGACUGUCUCUGUAUACCCUUCAAGAAUGGGGACAUUCUAGCAUUUCAAACAGACAUUGAUGCAGGACAGAUGAGGCUUAUCAACUGUGGAAUUUUGGGGAAGAAGGCUUAUUUAAGUUGCAGCAAUCCAGAGGGACUAAUGCCAAAAAGUCUCUGGACCCCAGGUAUAAAAAUUAUCUGAGAUUUAUACUCAGUUAAACAACAGGGUAGUUAAUAUAACAGUUACUUUUUCUUCAGUGUUCUUAGGUUAAACAGAGAUUUCACAACUUUUUACUAAGAAAACAGAAACAGUAACUUUUGUACAUCAAAAAGCUUGAUUGCAGACUUAUUUUCAGGUGUAGAUGGGCAAAAUACCUUUAUUAUUUAUUUAUUUUUAUAUGGUACUGAGAAUCAAAAGCAGUGACCCACACAUGCUAGGCAAGUGCUUUACUACUGAGGAACAACCCCAGCCCUGCUGACCUAACAUUUACAAGAAAGAGAAAUCUGACCUUUACAACAAAGAGGAGCUCAAACCACAAUGAGCUCUCUAGAAGUCCUGUUAACUUUUUAAAAAAUAUCUUCUUCGCUAGGAGAAAAGCUUGUAUGUUACAAUUGGUGUGGGUCUUUUGGGGACUUCAUCAUUUGGAGUCUUUUGGGGACUAUACCAUUACUCCCUUUGAUACUCAUUAUUUAAUCUUUUAAAUCAAAGGCCAUUAUUAUCUUCUUGGUUUAAAGCUUUAUGUGAUGUCAUAUCUUAGUUUCUCUCUCUCUCUCUCUCUCUCUCUCUCUCUCUCUCUCUCUCUCAUCCUCUUAUAGAGUAGACCUAAUAGUUUUUUAAAAAAAUAUUUUAUUUUUUUAAUUUUAGGUGGACACAAUAUCUUUAUUUUAUGUGGUGCUGGGGAUCGAACCCAGUGCCGCAUGCAUGCCAGGUGAGCGCACUACCACCUGAGCCACAUCCCGAGCCCAGAUAUAAUAGUUUUAAUGUAAAGGGAAGACAAACAUGGAAGAAAUAAACAAGUUAAUAGCAUAAUCUCUACUAUGUCAAUUAUAAUUUUGAAUCCACCAAGAAUAGAAAACCAUCCUCCAAGUAGUGAGCUUGGAUCCUAAUCCUUAAUGCCCUUUGAGAUUUGAACUGGUACAUGUACUAGUUUUCUGAUAUUGUUAGCUAUGUGUUUUAUUGUUAUCAAUCCUGAAGUAAGCACCAAGGAAAGGACUAUGUCCAUGACAGAAGUAAUGAAUCAUAGUAUAAGAGCCAUCUCAGCAGAUGAAACAGUUCAUUUGUCCUGCUGGUUAGUUUAUUUUCUACCCUCCAUUGAUCAGCCAGCCCCAAGUGGCUCAGGCAGGGCUAAUGUUUCCUCAAGCAGGUGUGCGCAGGCUAGUCAGGUUCCAGAGUGACUAGAGCAGGGAUGGUGUUCUUCUGAUUCUCAAGCUUGUCUGCUGUUUCCUUCUUCCUAAUGGUCAGCUGAAGGGCUGCAAAUUAAGGUGGGAAAGCUGCUAAAGAAUGUGUAUGACAAUAUAAGAUUAUAUUUUCAAAAAGUCCCAAAACAGGUCAAAAGGAACAAGAUAUUACAAAAUGUGUAUCUGUGUAUAUGUAUAUACAUAUGUUGAUAUAUUUGGUGACACUGUAAAGAAAACUAUGGAAUUGUGGACAGUCCUCCAUGUAUGUGUGGUAGAGCUGGGGGAUAUCCCAGGAGGCUUAAACUACAUAGAUUUAUCUUAAUGUAAUUUUAAACAAAUUUGAAAACAGCCUAUAAUUUUAUGAGCCUGACCCAACAUUUCAUGCUUUAGCUUAUGAUCUCCCAUAUAUUAUUAUUUCAUCUAAAAACAUGAAGUAAAUUUAAAUUUCCUACCUCAGAGGUCAGUUUUCUUUCAAAGGUGCAUUUCUAAGUGUAUCGCAUUUAAUCUCGGCAUAUAUUUCUUCAGGGAAAUAAUGCCAAAAGCCUUCCUGGUUCCCAAAUUGAGGUAGUGCUCAACAGCUUAAUUUACCCCUGGCUUAUCAUUCUCACCAUCUUUAUUCUACAAGAUGCAAAACCAAGGUUGUACCUAGUUCUGUACUCUGGUCAAAAUCACCCAGUUAAGAGGGAUUUGGGUCCAGCUGUACCAACUCUGAAAACUUUGCCUUUCCUCACACUACCCUUUAGCAAGACAAAACUUACUAACUUAUAUUUUUCCUUUCUUGAUAAAUCUUUUGGAAGCAGCUCAUGUUAGGCUAAAUUUGAUAGAUCUAGGGGAGUAUUUUCCCAAGAGACUGCUUUUCCCCAAUCCAGGUUUAUGGAGUCUGGUCAGUCAGGCUGUCCCCCAACUGCUGCAAUGUACCUAGGCUUCUCAAUACUGCCCAUAGGCCCAUUGCCCAUCAGCCCUGUCUCCAGGACCCAGAGUCCUGUUCAGGAAGGAGUGGGGUGGGGGCGUGGGAGAAGGGACAAGGGUGGUAAAUUCAGGAGAAAGGACAAGAGGGUUCUCCCAGAGCAGCCGGAGAUCCCUUCCCAGCUUGCCCCACAGGGUCAAAGUCCAGACCUGGCCUCUCACCAGCUGGCUGAACCCACCUAGCCCAGCAUACUGCCUGCUGCGAGGACUGCAACCUUUAUUUAAAGUACUUACUUGUUUUCCUUGGAUGAAUUCUCUGAGUUAGCACCACAAUUCCUCAAGGGUCUAGAAGGACUGGUGGCUAGUCCUAGGGGCGGAAAGGCAGGUGGCAUGCAGUAGACGCUAGCGAGGCCACUGUCAUGUAGAAUGCCCAGCUUCCCCAGCUUCUGCUAUCUUGGGCAAAACAGCAGCAGCCUUGGGGCUGAGUUGCUGUAGCAGCAGCAGCAGCAUCACCGAAUGGUGGCCUCUGGUGACAGCAAUAAGCAGCUGCUUCCUGCAUAGGGAGUUGAGCAUUGGCGUUGGGGCAUCUGUGGAGGCAUCAUCUGGAUGGUUUGGGAGUGUGUUUGCAAGGUGGUCCAGUGGUGGUAUCAGUGAAAGAGUCCAGAAGUGUGGUGGGGGCAACAGAGGCUUCCAGCCAUAAGCAGUUUUGUCCUGCAUUGCUAACAGGAGUCCCGCUGCAGUUGCAAUAAAGUUCGGCAUCCAGUACUGAGUAUCACUGUCUGGCAUCCAUGUUGGAGUCUGGUGGCAGAAACAUGGAGCUCCAAAGUCUGGUGUGGCAGUAGCAACAUGCAGCUGCAUCAGGGUCUGGUGUCAAAUAUAGGACCUCGGGGGUGUCACCAUGGAGUGACGUGCAUUGACGUUGGGGCAUAGGUGGGCAGCGUAGGUGUCCAGCUGGGGUUUGGGAGUUCAGUUUAUGUGUGAUGGUGGUGGCACCAGAGAGUCCGGAAGCUGAUGCAGUGGCAACAGAGGCAUCCAGCCCUGAGUGUCUUCAUCCUGCAGCAGUGACAGGAGUCUGGCUGCAGUGGCAGUGAAGGCAGCAUUUAGCAGCCAUGUGGGGAGUCCAGUGNNNNNNNNNNNNNNNNNNNNNNNNNNNNNNNNNNNNNNNNNNNNNNNNNNNNNNNNNNNNNNNNNNNNNNNNNNNNNNNNNNNNNNNNNNNNNNNNNNNNNNNNNNNNNNNNNNNNNNNNNNNNNNNNNNNNNNNNNNNNNNNNNNNNNNNNNNNNNNNNNNNNNNNNNNNNNNNNNNNNNNNNNNNNNNNNNNNNNNNNNNNNNNNNNNNNNNNNNNNNNNNNNNNNNNNNNNNNNNNNNNNNNNNNNNNNNNNNNNNNNNNNNNNNNNNNNNNNNNNNNNNNNNNNNNNNNNNNNNNNNNNNNNNNNNNNNNNNNNNNNNNNNNNNNNNNNNNNNNNNNNNNNNNNNNNNNNNNNNNNNNNNNNNNNNNNNNNNNNNNNNNNNNNNNNNNNNNNNNNNNNNNNNNNNNNNNNNNNNNNNNNNNNNNNNNNNNNNNNNNNNNNNNNNNNNNNNNNNNNNNNNNNNNNNNNNNNNNNNNNNNNNNNNNNNNNNNNNNNNNNNNNNNNNNNNNNNNNNNNNNNNNNNNNNNNNNNNNNNNNNNNNNNNNNNNNNNNNNNNNNNNNNNNNNNNNNNNNNNNNNNNNNNNNNNNNNNNNNNNNNNNNNNNNNNNNNNNNNNNNNNNNNNNNNNNNNNNNNNNNNNNNNNNNNNNNNNNNNNNNNNNNNNNNNNNNNNNNNNNNNNNNNNNNNNNNNNNNNNNNNNNNNNNNNNNNNNNNNNNNNNNNNNNNNNNNNNNNNNNNNNNNNNNNNNNNNNNNNNNNNNNNNNNNNNNNNNNNNNNNNNNNNNNNNNNNNNNNNNNNNNNNNNNNNNNNNNNNNNNNNNNNNNNNNNNNNNNNNNNNNNNNNNNNNNNNNNNNNNNNNNNNNNNNNNNNNNNNNNNNNNNNNNNNNNNNNNNNNNNNNNNNNNNNNNNNNNNNNNNNNNNNNNNNNNNNNNNNNNNNAAAAAAAAAAAAGAAAAGAAAAGAAAAAGAAACAGUAACUUAGUCAGGGGUGGUGGCACAUGCCUGUAAUCCUAGCAGCUUAGGAAGCUAACGCAAGAGGAUUGGGAGUUCAAAGCCAGCCUCAGCAAAAGUAAAGCACUAAGCAACUCAGUCAUACCCUGUCUCUAAAAUAAAGUAUAAAAAAGGCUGAGGAUGUGACUCAGUGGUUGAGUGCCCCUGUGUUCAUCCCUGGUACCCCCCAAAAAAAGAAAGAAAAUGCUAUUAAAAGAAAAGAAACAGUGACUUACUUUCUCCAAAAAUCAGGUGAUACCAGUCACAAAGGCUAAACCUGCCCCUAACAGGUAUAAUACCAGAUAUGUAGGACCCCAGUAGACCUCCAGGAACUGAAUCUGAUGCAAUCACACAAGAGUCUUUAUUGCAAGCUCUAGCCUGGACUCACAACUGUUUCCAAUGCAGCAGUCCCUAGGAGUGAGCCCUGGUCCUUUGUUCAGUGAGAUUUUAUAGGGUUUUUGGGGAUACUCUAUGUGUCACAAGAUCACACAGUGAAUCAUUUCAUAUCACGGGAAAAUCAAACAACAACUCUUAACAUUGAUUAGCACAUUUAUUGACAGGAACAAGUUGGGUAGGGGUGAUUGCUUGGUACAAGAGGGGGGAUUCAUUUGAACUGACUGGUUUAAGCCAUGAGGGGUGUACGUGCUAAACUACAUGGUUUCCCAACAUGUUAUCAAUCACCGAGACUACUGGAGGAGUCAUCUGGAACCCCAGGUAUUUUCCCUGGCUCAUGCUGAUUGGUGGUUGAUAGGGGGUUGCUAUGGGUCCUCACCUAGGUAACUGAGUCAGGGACACCUGGCACUGCAGAUCUCUCCUGUUAUUUACAGACAAAGAACUCAGCAAGGUGGCUAUGUGCCUAGGAAUGCUCUAUGGAUUUUCCCAAGGACAAAGGUCAUGCCCCCUACCUCUGGACAGGCCUUGAGGUAGAAGCUGGUUUCUCAAAAAUAGAGUCACAUCAGUUUCUCACAGGCAGCCAUGAUUCUGGCUUGUAAAAGAUAAUGCUCAAGGGGGAGUUGCUGCUGCUCUCACUUUCCUUUGCUUUCUCCCACUUGUUGCUGCUCUCCCUCUCUUGUUGUUCUCUCUGUGCAAGACAGACAUUGUCAGGUUCCUGACAAUAAGUCUGCUUAUGCCUCUGUAGUUGGUGUUCCUGUGUGGUCAGUCCUGCACCACUUUUCUUUCAUUGAUGCCAGUGACUUGGAUACAGGCUCUGAGACAAACUCUCCUCUUGACCCUUUGGGGAUUUGAGCUGCUUCAGGAUUCUGGGCUGAAGGCCUAGGACACUUCCUUCCAUUCACUGAGGGCUCUUUCUGUCUCCCCACACUGGCCUUAUUUGGAUAAGUGACCUUGCCCUUUACCUCCCAUCCUCCUUACACUUCUCCACUCUGGAGACUUACUAAACUUAAGUCUUGGCUCAGCACCAAGACUCACUACAAGUGACCUACUUUCCCAUUUCUCCCCCUUGGCGAGUUUCUACUCCAGUCUUGGCUCUAUUCUAUUUGGGCCUACAUGGCUAUCUGGGAGAGCUACAAAAGCCCUGAUACCAGGCACCAAGACCCUUGACAGGCUUCACAAGCCUGGGACUAGUGAAGUACUGGGUGAUAACCCCCUUCUCUCAGUCCCAGAAAGGGUUUAGCCCUGGGUCAGUGAAUCAUGUGUUGACAACCCCUCUUCACUCUUGUCCCUUCUUAUUCUUCUCUGUUUUGUCCUAGAGCCAGGGACGCCUGCUUCUAGCCACUCCAACACUCCAACUUGCCAUGGGUAUCUCUCAAUCCAAAACCCCAUCUGACUCACCUAUCAGCUGCCUCCUCACCCCCUCCAUUUGGCUCCAGAUCUAAAGGCCCAUCAACUGAUUCAAUUUUCCACAAAGUCAUGGCCUUUCUAUGACUUGGACAAUGGAUACAAAUGGCCACCUAAUUGCACCUUCAUUCUUAACAUUUUUGGGGAUCUUUACAACUUUUGUGAGUGUUUGGAUAAAUGGAAGGAAAACCCUUGCAUGCAAGCAUUCUCUUUUUUCUAUUCUAAACAUUCCCUCUAUUCUUCUUACUCUCUGUGUCAGUCCUGCUGCCCUACAUAAGUUCUCCUUGCUCACUCUCCCUUAACCCUUUCCCCAUCCCAAUCCUACCAGGUUUCCCCUUUUUAACCCACAAGAUCACUUUUCACUUUCUCAGCUUCCACUCUAUAUUGCUCUGCUGCCCCACCCAGCCACACUUCAUCACCUUACUCAGAUGCACCUUCACCACAUAGGGAAUCUACCUUUCUCCUGACCUCAACACCACAUCUCCUACUCCCACCUCUUCUUCUCCCUCUUUCUUCCCUCCUCAUACUCCCCACCUGACAACUUCAACAGCUCCCCUCACUCUCUUAAUGGUACCACUCACUCUUCCUCUUCUCCACUAAUAAAGUUUCAUAAAUUUUUACAUCCAAAUAUGGCCUAAUUACCGACUGGGAAAUAGAGUAAGGUUAAAAAGACAUAGGCAGCAAUCUCCCUGGCAAGGAUACACUGAAGCUAAUAUUGAAAUACAAAGUCAGACUCAGCAGGCUUGAUAAGAGGCCUAAGACUAAAGAAAAAAAAAAAAAAAAGUCAAUUUAAUUUUUUCCUUAGCUGCAACACAGAAAACUGACUUCAAACUCACUCUUUCUCUCUCUCACUCUCUGUCUCAUUCUCUCAUAUUGAUUUAAUAAAAUAAUUAAUGACCAUAUCAUUUUUUCUAGGACUCUUCUUUUUUUAAAAAAAAUUCUAUAUUAUUGAACUCAUAAUUUUGAUCCUGCAUGCCUAAAUUAUAAUUUAUGUUCAGACCUAUUUUAUGCAACUAUAAAAGUUUUUUUAAACUCUGCUUUGCUCAGAGGCCAAUUUACAAAGGUUAAUUCUUAAUCUAAUAAAUUUUAAAAGUUAUAAGGCCUUUACUUAUUUGUUCUAUGUACUGUCUUGUCUAUAUGUCUGUCCAUCAGAACCAAUAUACAGAGCACUCAUAAACUAAAAUUCAAAAAAUGGAUCUAAAUACCUUUGAUUCACGAUUUAAAGUUCAACUUAAAUUAGAUAAACAAAAAAGGUAAUGAUGUCUUCAAAAUCACUAAUGCAGAUGAUCAGACAAUGGAAAAUCUCAUUUUCUAUUUAAUGUUUUAAAUAUAAUGCCCAUUGCUUCUAAUGUCCAUUGCUUCUUAUAGGACUUUUUCUUCAAUAACAACAACAACAAAAAAUGCCUUAGAAUGGUAACUAAACUUGGUUUUCAUGGGUAACCUAAUUUAAAAUGAAUGAAUCAGAUUUAACAUAAAUAAGAUAAACAUUAUAAAUAUGAUUUUUAUAAAUUGUUGUUCAAUAAAAAGUUUAAGAUCUCUUUAUUUCUGGUCUUACUAAAACCAAGAUGAUUAAAGGUUAAAAUUCUACAUUCAUACAUGUUCUAAAAACUCACAAGAUGAUAAAAUACUGUAUUAUUUUAACCAAGUGACACCAGACUUUAGACUCCUCAAGGUCAACACUCCUGGACUCUGGACUCUGAGAAUCAUGCCAGCAAUGAGGGAGAAGAAGCCUCUGAGCCAGCUGUAGUGGGUUCCACUCUUCCAUCUUCCCUGCAUCCUUCACCAUUCUCUGCUCUAAGCCUUUCCUUUGCCCUUCUUGCUCUCCUGCCCAGCUGUUACUUGCCACAGAGGUCUUCCAGAGACCCUAUUCCUACACAAACAAAGGACCCAAACCCUCCUUUCAACCCCACUGAUGAGCCUCCCCCUUACUGAGUUCCACUAAGCCCACCUGCUCCCUCCACACCACCAUUCCAAACACCCUUCAGCCCUCCCAUUACCCAAUCUCACACAGCCAUUUGAGAGCCUGCCCUUUUACUCCCUCUUCAGGAAGUGCUGGGUCUGAGGAGGUAGGCAGAGUUCAUGUGCCCUUCUCUCUAGGUGAUCUCUUCCAAAUCAAGAGACACCUAGGAUCAUUUGCCUCCAACCCUAACACAUCUACCAAGGAGUUACAGUACAUAACAUAGGCCAAAAUCUCACCUUUAAUAAUAUGCACGAGAUCCUAUCCAACACCCUCCUCCCAGAGGAGUAUAGAUAAGUCUGGGAACAAGUCUGAAACUAUGAAGUCCACCAAUUGAGACUAAAAAAUUUCCUUAGGGGCCAAACAAGAAGGAACAAUUUAUUACCUGCUUACUGACAGGUUUAAAAGGGCAGUUCAUAAAGCCAUCAAUUAUGAUAGACUCCAAGAGGUCAUCCAAGAUAAAAAUGAAAACCCCUCUUCCUUUUUAAACCACCUGAAUCAGGCUCUACUCCAAUACACCAAUUUGAUCCCAAGUCACUUGAUGGUCAGAACUUACUCAUGACCUAACUUCCCAACAUUAAAGCUAAACUUAAAAAGUUGGAGCAAGGUCCCCUUACCCCAUAGGCUCAAGUGCGUGAGGUGGCCUUCAAGGUGUACAAUGGCAGAAAAGAAAAGGUGCACCAAGCUAAAUAUCAAAUGCUAACCAAAACAUUUCAACAACCUUCCACUACAAUCACUACCCCUAUAACCCACAGAAGACCCCCUGGAUCAUGCUAUAGCUGUGGUCAGUUGGGCCAUUGAGCCAAAUCUUAUUCCAGUCCUUGCCAACCUCCUAGUCACUGUACUAAAUGCCACCAGGUGGGCCAUUGAGCUGUUGAUUGCCCUUUUGCCCAGUGAGGCAGGUGGUCACACAGCCCCAUCACAACACAAGCAGAACCUCUGAGACUAGCUAUGGAUGACUGAUGAGGACUGGGAUACCAACAUUGAACUAAUGCCAGAACCCAGGUAACCAUUGUAGUAGCAGGUAGGCUCAUCACUUUCCUUUUGAACACCAGGCUACAUUCUCAGUACUUGUCCACCUCUACUUCUAUGACCUCCAUUGUCGUGGUGGGAGGCAAAUCAUAUCAACCACUAAGAAUGCCACCUCUUACAUGCUCAUUCACGAGAUCCCUUUCUCCCACUCUUUCCUCAUUAUUCCCCAAUGCCCCACUCACUCCCUUACUAGGUCUAGAUAGAUCUCUUAAGUAACUAUAGCUCAUCCAUUUCGUUUAAUCUUCCAUGCUGUACUCUCUCCAAGACGUAUCCCCAUUCCAACUCCUACUCCUCCUAUCACUUACAAUAACUCCCUCAUCAAUACUCUUGCCCCCAUCCUUGGUCAAUCCCCAGAUAUGGGACAUACACAACCCCUCUGUAGCCACACACCAAGAGACCAUCCACAUCACACUCAAAAACCCAUCUCUUUCCACUCCAAUCCCAAUAACCACUAAAAUAGCCUUAGGGGACCCAUCAAUUCUCACCUCCUAGUCAAAGGCCUAUAUCCUGCAGACUCCCCUCAUAACACACCCAUUCUCACCAUCAAGAAAACCCUCAGGUGCCUUCCAUUUGGUCCAAGACUUUGCAUCCAUCAACAUAGCAGUAGUCCCUUUACACCCCAUUGUUACAAAUCCAAACACUGUCUUGUCCUCCACCCCUGCCUCCACAACACACUUUUCUGUUCUAGACUUUAAGGAUGCCUCUUUACCCAUUCCCUUACAAAAAGAUUCUAAAGCCCUCUUUGCUUUUACCGAACUGACCUAGACACCCAGGUAUCCAUUCAGCUUACAUGGACAGUCCUUCCUCCGGGUUUUAGAGAUAGCCUCCACCUUUUUGGACAAGCCUUAGCCUGAGACCUCAUCUACCUAUCUUUGUCACCAUCAUUCCUCCUCUAAUACAUGGAUGACCUUCUUGUAGAUGACCUUCUUUUCUGCAGCCCUUCUGUAUACCAUAGUAAAACCUACACAGCCAAAUUAUUAAAAUUCUUGGCCUAGCAAGAAUAUCUCAUCUCCCCCUCUAAGGUUCACCUUUCUCUUCCCACAGUCACUUACUUGGGCUUCCAAAUAACCCUGCCCACAAGGCCAUCACAGUGGAUCCCAAAAUCUUAUUUCUCACCUUCCUGUUUCUACUACCAUGGCUGAAGUACUCUCAUCGUUCUUGGGACUAACAGGAUACUUUAAGACAUGGAUACCCAGUUACUCUUUGCUGGCCCGACCCCUUCUCAGUGCCACAAAUCCUCCCUUGAAGAGCUCCUCAUCAUACCCAUCAACACUUCCUUUUGGGCCCUCCACCAAGCCCUCCUACAGGCCUCAGCCCUUCACUUACCCAACAUUGGGAAAGCAGUGGCAUUUCUCUCAAAGGCCUUUGAAUAGCAAUGGCAUUUCUCUUAAAGCACCUUGACCCAACAAUACAACAAUACACCUUGCUUUGGGGUAAUAGCCUCCUCAGUCAUUUUAAUCCAGGAGUCAAAACAAAAGAAACCUAGCAUUUGGGUCACCUCUAAUAGUCCUCUCCCCUCAACACUUAACUGAAUUACUCUCCUAUAAGGGUUCUCAGACUCUGCCCCCUUCCCAUAUUUUUUCCCCUUCAGAUCUCACUGAUUGAGGACCUCACUCUAACCUUCAAAACAUGCCCACCGCUCAGUCACUUUACUCUACUUUCUCCUCCUAAUGACUUUAAUCUUCAUCAACUUCUCCAUUCCAGUUACUCCCCUAUCCCUCCCAUAUUCAGGAAGAACCCUUGCCAACUCCCUCAUACACUUGGUUCAUGGAUGGGUGUUCCUUUUCUCAUGAUCACCACAGCUUUAGAAGUGAUAGAGUGUAACUCCCUACCCCCCAGCACCACCAAUCAACAAGCAAACUUAAUAGCUCCAACCCAAGCAUUCACCCAAGCUAAGAGUUAAUCUUUGAUCAUUUAUACAGAUUCUAAAUAUUGCUUUCAUAUAUUAUUAGCUCAUGCAGCAAUAUGGAAAGAGUAAGUACUCAUGACUACCAAAGGCUCCUCCAUCAUCAACACUUCAUACAUCAAUGCCCUCCUAGAAGUCUCCCUUCUCCCUUCUAUAGGCAUAGUACUUUGCAAAACCAUCAGUGAGAUAAUUCCAUUAUUACAGCAGGUAGCAACCUGGCAAAUCAAAUGGCCCACAGGCAGCUCUAUACCCACUCCCCAACAAUGAAUCCAACACCAUUCUCCUUUCUACACCCCAGACACUUCCCAAAACACAUCUGCACCCCCAAUACCACACAAGAUACCUAUCACAUCCUCACCUAUCUACACCACUUACUUCACCCUAAAUUCUCUUCUUUAAGAGACUUUAUCAAACAAUUUUUAAUUGUCACCACAGACCAUAUCAAAUUCUUCCAGGACCUCUCUUCAUUCUGAGAGAGAUGUAAAAACAAAACAAACAAACAAAAAACUAAUCCUUCCUCUAACAUUUCAUCCUCCCAUCCCAAUGCAGUUACUCCACCUAAUGGCUUGUCCCCUAAAUGGAUGGGACCAUAUGAAGUUACUCUUACCACCUCAACUGCCGCCAAUCUUAAGGGGUUCCCCAACUGGAUACACAUUUCAGCUCUCAAAACCUGCCCUCACCUUCACUUCACUGCAAUGCCCACAGGGCCACUCACCUUGUGGCUCAAACAGACAAAAGCCUCCAAACUUCACCUGGUAUCAGAACAACUCAAAGACCAUACAACCCCAGAUAAGUGACUCCCUCUUCCCUUCUCAUUACUAUCAAUUUCUUCUCAUCCUAUGGACAGAGCUGGCCUCUGACCCAGGACUUCCAAGGCCUAUGACUCCCACUUUCCUCUUCUAGCUCCUUCAGGACUUACAUUUUUAGGGAUCCUUUUCCAACUUCACCCCAACUAAAAUUUACCUCUUUUCUAAAUGCCAUUCUCUGCCUAGCCUUCUGUUACCAUGUGUUUUCAAGUUUUUACAGAAAACCAUCAUGGAAAGGACUAAGACCUACACCAAUGAAGUGAUCAAUAAGAUGCUUCUGGGAUAAUAUGCUCACUUGAAAGAAGAAACCUCCCUCUAGGACCUGUCUCUGCCCCAUCACCACCCCCAUGCCAGUAGGAAUUAGCCAUAAGAAGAAGAGACCUCCAUCCAUAAGCCACCCUAAGCCCUAGUAUUAAAAAAGGGAGGAAUGUUGACAUAACUACAGCCAUUUUCCUUUUCCCACUCCCACUCUAUGAACACUGUUCUUUUUCUCAAGAGAUAAAGACCAGCAGGUCUCUGUUCUCUCCUUGAGAGAGAAAAUAUUUCUCUUCUCUCUUCUAAAGAAACAGUAACUUGCCUUCUGAAAAAUCAGGUGAUGCUUGCUGUGCCAGUCACAAAGGCUAUACUCGCCCCUAACAGGAGGCCAUGAUUCUGGCCUAUAAAAGGUAAUGCUCAAGGGGGAGUUGCUGCUGCUCUCCCUCUCCUGCUGCUUUCUCUCACUCAUGUCACUCCCCUCUCUGCAUGAGACAGACUUGUCAGGGCCUGACAAUAAUUCUUCUUAUGCAUCUAUAAUUGGUAUUCCUAUGGUCAGUCCUGCACAACUUUUCUUUCACUCCCACCAUCCCCAGCCACAUCCCACAUGGGCUGUGGGGCAGAGAGCAGAUGACCUAGGACAUCUUCAUUCUCAAAGCACAUUGCUGUGGGUGAAGGCAACAGAAGACCAAGACUGAGGGCUCUGCACCUUCAGGGUCCCUCUGCUGCCUAUGCCCUCCACACUCCUCCCACCACAGGGAUGUGCUUUCUGGAUUAGAUGUGCUAGCCCUCACCCUUCCAAAGCUCUCUCCCCCCACAAUCCAUGGAAAAUGUGUCUGGGGAAGGGGGUUCAUCUCCAAAUCCUGCCUCAGCUGACAGCUGGCCUACUCCCCCUGCAGAGGCCAAAACCCAGGGAGGAACAGGGCAAACUGGGGGUGGGGGCAAUCAGACACCCAGUGGGCUCAAGGACAGUAGCAGGCAGGGAAGGCGUGGGCAGAAUGAGGUUCUCAGAGGCUAUCUGGGUAUCACUACCUCCCAUGUUCUACUUCCUGAGCAGGCAGGCCCUGCCAGGAGCAAGACCAGUUGUCUGGAGCAGCCACUGCAGCCUACCAGCCUCCAGUUGCCCUCUGGCUCUGAGGCCCGCUUCCCCCAUGCUUUUGCUGUCACUGCAGCCAGAGCUCCAUGCUGCAGCAACUGGAGUUUCAACAUGGCCACCAGCAAUGCCAUCUUCACUGCCGUUGCACAGUAACCAGACUCCUACCACCACCAAAGGAUGAGGAAGCUCCUACCUGGAUGCCUUGCUUGCCGCUACCACUUCCAGACCCCUCAGUUGCCUUUGCCACCACUGCCAUAACCAAACUUCAGACACUGAAGCCUCCACGAAUGCCCAAUGCCAAGGCUGGACUUCCCAUUGCUGCUGCCACCCAUACAACUGGACUCCCCAAACCGCCUUUGGACACCUAGCCUUGCUGAUGCCUUCCUCGAAGAUAGAUGCCCCUGGUGCCAGAUCCUGGCACUGCCCCUUGUUGUUGGGCACCUCAAAUGUGGAACACUGUUGUGGAACACUGAGGAAGGUGCUAUACACUUUUGAGUCUCUGCAACCAGACUUCUUUCACAGCCACCAGAUGCCUCCACAGGUGCUGUCUACACCUCCAGGCUUGGAGAGAGUGGAAGGCAUCUCCUUCCAUGCCUCUGGCCUUUUCAUCCCUGCCAGAGGAUUAAUUCACUGACCAGUUAAGGCUCUCAUAACUGAAAAAUUUCACCUCUAAACUUUCUUGCAUUAUUAGUUUUUUGGGGAAACCUAGUAACUAAUCCAUAAUACAUCUUCAUCAAAUAGCUUAGCAAGAUCUUGUUAACUUGCUGUAGUUUCUACAUCAGCACUUGCUGCUUCACCUUGAACUUUUAUUUUAAGGAGAUGGGCUUCUUGCACCUUCAAACUUCUUCUGGAGCUUUCUCAUUUCUCUUGGCAUUAGAACAAUCUAGAUAUGGAUUUGANUCUGCCUAGCCUUCUGUUACCAUGUGUUUUCAAGUUUUUACAGAAAACCAUCAUGGAAAGGACUAAGACCUACACCAAUGAAGUGAUCAAUAAGAUGCUUCUGGGAUAAUAUGCUCACUUGAAAGAAGAAACCUCCCUCUAGGACCUGUCUCUGCCCCAUCACCACCCCCAUGCCAGUAGGAAUUAGCCAUAAGAAGAAGAGACCUCCAUCCAUAAGCCACCCUAAGCCCUAGUAUUAAAAAAGGGAGGAAUGUUGACAUAACUACAGCCAUUUUCCUUUUCCCACUCCCACUCUAUGAACACUGUUCUUUUUCUCAAGAGAUAAAGACCAGCAGGUCUCUGUUCUCUCCUUGAGAGAGAAAAUAUUUCUCUUCUCUCUUCUAAAGAAACAGUAACUUGCCUUCUGAAAAAUCAGGUGAUGCUUGCUGUGCCAGUCACAAAGGCUAUACUCGCCCCUAACAGGAGGCCAUGAUUCUGGCCUAUAAAAGGUAAUGCUCAAGGGGGAGUUGCUGCUGCUCUCCCUCUCCUGCUGCUUUCUCUCACUCAUGUCACUCCCCUCUCUGCAUGAGACAGACUUGUCAGGGCCUGACAAUAAUUCUUCUUAUGCAUCUAUAAUUGGUAUUCCUAUGGUCAGUCCUGCACAACUUUUCUUUCACUCCCACCAUCCCCAGCCACAUCCCACAUGGGCUGUGGGGCAGAGAGCAGAUGACCUAGGACAUCUUCAUUCUCAAAGCACAUUGCUGUGGGUGAAGGCAACAGAAGACCAAGACUGAGGGCUCUGCACCUUCAGGGUCCCUCUGCUGCCUAUGCCCUCCACACUCCUCCCACCACAGGGAUGUGCUUUCUGGAUUAGAUGUGCUAGCCCUCACCCUUCCAAAGCUCUCUCCCCCCACAAUCCAUGGAAAAUGUGUCUGGGGAAGGGGGUUCAUCUCCAAAUCCUGCCUCAGCUGACAGCUGGCCUACUCCCCCUGCAGAGGCCAAAACCCAGGGAGGAACAGGGCAAACUGGGGGUGGGGGCAAUCAGACACCCAGUGGGCUCAAGGACAGUAGCAGGCAGGGAAGGCGUGGGCAGAAUGAGGUUCUCAGAGGCUAUCUGGGUAUCACUACCUCCCAUGUUCUACUUCCUGAGCAGGCAGGCCCUGCCAGGAGCAAGACCAGUUGUCUGGAGCAGCCACUGCAGCCUACCAGCCUCCAGUUGCCCUCUGGCUCUGAGGCCCGCUUCCCCCAUGCUUUUGCUGUCACUGCAGCCAGAGCUCCAUGCUGCAGCAACUGGAGUUUCAACAUGGCCACCAGCAAUGCCAUCUUCACUGCCGUUGCACAGUAACCAGACUCCUACCACCACCAAAGGAUGAGGAAGCUCCUACCUGGAUGCCUUGCUUGCCGCUACCACUUCCAGACCCCUCAGUUGCCUUUGCCACCACUGCCAUAACCAAACUUCAGACACUGAAGCCUCCACGAAUGCCCAAUGCCAAGGCUGGACUUCCCAUUGCUGCUGCCACCCAUACAACUGGACUCCCCAAACCGCCUUUGGACACCUAGCCUUGCUGAUGCCUUCCUCGAAGAUAGAUGCCCCUGGUGCCAGAUCCUGGCACUGCCCCUUGUUGUUGGGCACCUCAAAUGUGGAACACUGUUGUGGAACACUGAGGAAGGUGCUAUACACUUUUGAGUCUCUGCAACCAGACUUCUUUCACAGCCACCAGAUGCCUCCACAGGUGCUGUCUACACCUCCAGGCUUGGAGAGAGUGGAAGGCAUCUCCUUCCAUGCCUCUGGCCUUUUCAUCCCUGCCAGAGGAUUAAUUCACUGACCAGUUAAGGCUCUCAUAACUGAAAAAUUUCACCUCUAAACUUUCUUGCAUUAUUAGUUUUUUGGGGAAACCUAGUAACUAAUCCAUAAUACAUCUUCAUCAAAUAGCUUAGCAAGAUCUUGUUAACUUGCUGUAGUUUCUACAUCAGCACUUGCUGCUUCACCUUGAACUUUUAUUUUAAGGAGAUGGGCUUCUUGCACCUUCAAACUUCUUCUGGAGCUUUCUCAUUUCUCUUGGCAUUAGAACAAUCUAGAUAUGGAUUUGACUUAAGAGAAUGUUGCUUGUUUCAUCUGUUCUCCAGAAGAUGAAAACUUUUUCUAUAUCAGAAAUAAGGCUGUUUUGCUUUCUUAUGAUUCACAUAUGCCCUGCAGCAGCACCUUAAUUUCCUUCAAGAACAUUUCCUUUGUAUCCUUAGUGUGAUUAACCAGUGCAAGAGUUACAGAUUUUUAUUUAGAGUGCAAAACAUGAGACUCUUCCUUUUAUUUAAACAGUAUAGGCCAUUACUGAGUUAUUAACUGUUCUAACUUCAAUAUUGUGUCUUAGGGAAUAAGAGGAUUGUGAGAUAUAAUCCAUAGAGCAAUAAUAACACACAUAUUAAUUUUGCUAUCUUAUAUGAACAGGAUUUAUAGUACCACAUGACAAUUAAAAUAAUGAAUAUCACAGAUCACAUAAGACAUAUAAUGGCCUGAAAUGCUCACCACAUUUUAGGCAGUUACCUCUUCCCCAUACACAGGGGCCUCUAUUUCACCUCCUCCAGGAUGGCCUGUAGGUGACAACCCCCAAAGGACUCAUGUUCUCUAUGGGGGCUCCAUCUUUACCUACAUAUUGUUGGUGGUAGCACAGCCUGGUGAAUGGAUUGAGCAGUGUUAUGUCAACAUAAAAUUUUGUGGCUAUAAUUACUGACAGUGUCAUCAUGAACAAUAAAAAAUUACCAUCACAAAAAAUAAAACAGGCAAUUUCACGGAAGAGUGGGCCUUCUCCAUGAUUAGCUUUCAAUACACCAAUGUCACUGUCAUGGUUGCAAACACCUGUGAUCGUAGAGGCUCAGGAGGCUGAAGAGAAGGAUUGUGAGUUCAAAGCCAGCCUCAGCAACUUAGCAAGGCCCUAUCUCUAAAUAAAAUAUAAAAAAAGGUCUGGGUAUGUGAUUCAGUGGUUAAACAUCCAUGUGUCCAAGUCCUGGUACCAAAAUAAAAAGUACACCAAUAUCUUGCAUGCCAUCUAUGCAUAUUUCCUUGGGUCUCUCAGAAACAUGUCACAUUACCCUAGUGCAGCUGGGCUAUAGACCAAACAGAAAGGCAGCAGGGAAAGAGACUCGGCCACAUGCUUGGGGUGAUGGGUUCCUGCUGACCUGAGAGACAGCCCAACAUAUCCUGACUAGAAGCAGCCCAGAUGCCAGGCCCCUCAAUCAAGCCAGUGUGUACUGAGUGUUGAGGACCCCCUUGGGGUGGGUCUACAGAAGCCUCUGAGAAAGCUGACCACCAGCUCUCACUUAGAACCUGUUUUCCUCAGCAGGUUUGGUGGGCAUUAUAUGUGCAAAUACCGAUGAAGUCUCUUAGACAUGCAGGAAAUUCACAGUAAGUGAACUGUGGAUGAGCAGGAGUCUAGUCCCAGGCUGGGCCAGGAACAAGAUGGUGGGCAGAGGGCUUGCAACUGCCCACUGAGCACCUGUGCAUGGGUCAGCUUCCUAGCCAGGCCCCCUGGUGGAAUUCUUUCAAGGGUGUGAAGAGAACAGGACUAUAGUGGAAGCACCCCAAGCUGUUCCCCUAAAAUUUUAUGUCACUUCCCCAGGCAGACCUGAGCAAAGCUCUCCAGGGGACACAUGACUGCCACAGGCUUGGGCAGGCACUGCACACAUGGAGAGCUAGGGAAAAGGUGGCAUUCUCACCCAAGCUCAGGAGUAGACACACCUUUGAGCACCCCUUUCCACUAGGGAUGGGAGACAUUUGCCUGUCCCUUAAGGAGAGAGGGCACCUAAGUUGGCAGCAGAGGGAGCAGAGCCAGAUGGGGAAAUAUAGGGGCUCCAGGGGACCUGAGCAGGGAGCAACUAGUUGCAAAAGACACCAGCAGUGUCCAGAGUCCUGUCUGUCUCCCCUCCGGGUUCUCAUGAGAAAGCUGCCACCUCAUUCCACCCACCUGCUGGGGUGGGCUGGAGCUGGUGCCCAAGACCCCUGCCAGAGUGCCCCGGCUAUCAGGGUCCCCAGGAGGCACAACCCUGGCCAGCUGCCCACCAAACUUCACACACACACACACACACACACACUGGCACUGCCAUAGAAGCCCAGACUGGAAAGCUUGCAGGUGGCCCCAGAAGCUGCCCUCCUAACUUCUUACAGAUUUGGACAGACCUCCAUCAGGACUAUGGGUCAGGGAAAUUGGAAGCACAGGAUUGAAGCUGAGAAUAGCUGGCUGGGAUCUGAUCGCCUCUCUCUAAUAAAAUGGGCACAACUCAGACAUCAGGUGGGAAUGAUUCCUGCCCCACCUUCCCUGGGACUGAAAAGACUCCAGGAGGGGAGGAAUCUAAGGAUUGGCUCAGGCCUGAAACAUGGUGACCAACAGUGAGGAAGGCUGUUUGGAGAAGCAGGGCCCACAGAGGCCAAAGGUGUUGACUGUCUAGCCACCAGGCCACAGAUGGGGACUGUAGGGCAGACACUUCUCCUGGGGCUGUGGGAGCAGCGCUCAAGAGUCUCAGUUUUUUCCUGCACAGCCUUAUAGGCCACCAUGAACUAAGUGUACCACAGGUUGUAGGGGCUAGGAAUAUUAUUGAACCUCUUAAUAAAUCAAGUCAAACUAAAUAGACUUUCCAGUUUACCUGCUGGCCUCUGUGCUUCUUCCCAGCACCCCACCCCAACCUGCCUAGAAACCCAGAGGGAGUGGCUUCCAGCAGUGGAUUAGCUGGCUCCAGGGUUUCACCUAAAACCCCUCAGGGCUCUCCUAUGACCUCAGGAACUCCAGCCAGGGCUGGAGUGGCCUGUAUGAUCUGUCCAAGGCCAGCUUCAGUCUACCCCACCCCCAGACACUGGGCUGCUUGAGAGGGUCAAGCUGGGUCCCUUGGCCUCUUCCUCAACAUCUCACUAGAGCCAUGGGCCUCCUGGAGCCAACCCUGCAGGGCCUCUGAGCCAGCUCAGGCUGCAGGGAAUGAAUCUUCCCCUUAUAUCCCUAGCACACUCCCCCAGAAGAGUGCCUGAAGGGCUUUGCUUGGAGCUCUGUGUCCUGGUAGGGACAGCUGAGUGCAGGUUAUAAUUCAGGCUUCUGCUCUGUGUGCUGGGAUAAGUUACUUCACCUCUAUGUGCCUCUUUCCCCAUCAGUGGGAUGGUAGGAUCAGUAUCUCCAGAAUAAGCUGUGUGUUUGGGGGGCAGGAGGGUGUGUCUCCACUUUCCCCUCCAGGCACAGUGCCCCCACUGCAGACACCUCUCUCUUGCCCAAGGAAGCCCAUUCUCUAGUCCCUCAGAAAGGUGAGGAACUUGGGGCACCACCAGGGGCCUGUGUAGGGUGUGGGCUCACUGACCUGGCCCACCUGCCCCAGCAGCAACCCAAGCAGCCCAGUGGUUCCCACUGCACUCCCCUGGCCAGGCACCUGGUGGAGUUUUGUCAAUUACUAAUGACAGCAGAGGUGGCUGCACUGGCAUGUGGGUGAGUGGCAGGUGGGUGGUGGGCGAGGAGUGUGGAAGGAUGGCACAGCCUGCUCCCUGCCUCCCAGCCAGGGGACCAAGCCCCUCAGCUUCUGACACCAGAGGCCAGUGUGGGCUGGUGGUGAGGUCCUGCUUGCCUAGCUGGCUUCCUCCCUUUCUUAGGCUCCUCCCCACCUUGCAGAGGGCACCCUAGGUAGUGGCAGGCCUGGGGAGCAAGUUGAGGGCCAGGACAGAGCAGAGAGACCAAGGGCACCUGCAGGAGGGGAAGGAGGACACUGGGGAGCUCAGACCCAGGAAAAGGCCUGGCUGUCUGCGCUCCUGCCCAGGCUGCAGGGAGCUGGGCAUGGAAGGCAGCUUGGGUGCUUUGGGUUUUGUUUUUGGUGAUUUAAAUUUCCUUUGUGUUUUGUUCUAAACAAAGUGAUAAAUGUGCACAGUUUGGAUGAUCAGAUAGUUCUGUAGGGCUUGGGAUGGAACCCAUCUCCUCUUCUGUAGCUCCCUACUUUCUCCAUCCUCCUCCUGGUAUUUAGACUGGUUCUUUUAAUAUUUACUUCUCAGUAGCAAUGUUGCUUCUGCUUUUUCCUUUUCUUUUCAGAUUUAGAAAUUACCCAUCAAUAUCCUGCUAUGGAGGGUCAAAGUUUGUUCUCUCAUGGAGGCCAGAUGCACACACAUGUGUGCACAUACACAGUACAGUCUUCCUGAUUCCUCCCAUCCUCAUGAAUCAGGAUUCAGUGUGUAGGAGAUGUUUCUUUGCAUACAUUGGUCACUGCUGAGUAAUACGUUGUAAUUAAUCUCUGUACAACUUCUUUUUUUUCCUUAAUAAUUGGGGGGGUGUUAUUCUCUGUGUACGUUACUUAUUUAUCCCCAAACCCUGCCGUGGAAUAUGAAUCAUUUUUUGUACUGAAAAUAUCAGGCCAUCUAUGCGCUUAUGUUUUUUCCUGGAGCCUGUGAUAGCCAGCCUCCAAGAUGGCCCAGUGAUCUGCCCUCCAGGAACUUGUGUCCCUGUCCUACUGCAUGACACAGGAUGGGUCUAUAUGACCAACAGAGUACGGCAGAAGCCAUGGCUCUCUCCCUGGCUCCAGGUUUAGGUUACACAGCACACUGUAUCUCUUGUCUUGUUGGUGGACAUAUUUUCUCUCUCUCUCUCUCUCUCUCUCUCUCUCUCCCUGUCUCUCUCCCUGUCUCUCUCCUCUUUAUUUCCCUCUUCCAUUCUCUCCCUGUCUCCAUUUCUCCCUCUCUUUUUCUCCCCAACUUUCCUCUUCCUCUCUGCUUUUCUCUCUCUCCCUCUCCUCUUUUACUUUCUUUCUUUCUUUCUCUCCCUCUUUCUCUCUCCUUCUCCCUGUCUUUAGCUACCUCUACCUUUUUCUGUCUCUCCCCUCUUCCUCUCUGACUUCUUCUCUUGCUCUUUUCAUUUUCUUUGAGGGAGGUCCCCUGCCCCACCAUGAGCCACUCUGUGAAUGGGUCUACUUGGCUAGGAUUGUAAGCAUCCUGCCAUUAGCCAUGCUAGGAUACUGUUUUGGAAGUGGUCUUUCAGCCCCCAUCAAGACUUGGGAGGACUGUGCCCUGGCCAUCCUCUUGACUGCAAGCAACCCCAUGACACCCAGAGCCAGAAUCCUCCACCAUUCUGCUUCUGUCCCCCCAAAACUGUGCAAUAGUAAACCUUUGUUCUGGGAUAACUUAUUACACAGCAAAAGAUAACCAACACAGAGCCAUUUGUCCUCAGGCACCCAUAUGUCUUGGUCACCUUCACACCUGCUGCACCAGAAGGGACUUCUCUCCACUCCAGCCUGGUAAGUUCUUCCACCAGCUUCUGGGUGGCAUCCCCUCCUUCCCACAUCUCACACAGCCCUAUAUUUUGGACAGCUCUCUGGUUUUAUCCUGAGUGGCAAGAGUGCCAGCCCACCAUGAUCUGCCUCAGAGCCAGCACCCCAGGCCUGAUCUUCCAGCAGGAAGGCCUGGAAAUGGAGCUAUUUUGUUAACUUCCAUGAGUUCCUAAAGCACAUGGACACAUGACUUCAGGUGUCUAUCAACAGCCUUGAUAUGAACUGCACAGUUGCAUGUUGAAAAUCCAGCUGCCUGGAGGGCCUGCUGGUUCCUAACUCUGGGCCCACAGUUCUAUGUGGGUUGAGGCCACCUGUGCUAGGCAGCUUUCUGUUAUUGUGAAAUAAUAACUGAGAAAAUCACCUUAAAAAGAGGGAAGGUUCAUGUUUCCAGAGGUUUCAGUUCAUGAUCAUCUGUUCCCAUUACUUUUGGGCCUGUGGCAGGUCAGCACAUCAUGGCAAGAAUGAUACUGCUCACCUCAUGGUAGACAGAAAGAAAAAACAGGAAGAGACCAGGGGCCCACUCUCUCCUGGAGAGCACACCCCUAGCAACCUAGGACUGCCCACUAGGCCCACUUUCUACAGGUUCUACCACCUCUGGAUAGGGUCAUGGGCUGGGGACCAAGCCUAACACAUGGGCCUCUCAGGGACACUCAAGGUCCAAACAAUGGCACCACUGGGCUGGGCUGUCUGCCUGGGCUUCGAGGUGCUGGGUAACCUCCUGCAGUUUCACUAAUUAUCAGUUUCUGUUAGCUUCCUCUGUCCAUGGCCUCUAGCAUGGGCAGUGGACCCCUGAACACAGAAUGGAGCCAUCCUCAAGCACACUCUGCUCCAGGCCUAGCCUUUGACCAGGUUGUCAUCCUCCCUGGGGACUCCUCACAGUCUCUCAUGUGGGUGAAUCCUUGAGCAAGAGUGUGCAGGUGUACAAGCCAAGUCAUCCUGUGUGUGAUCAGAACUCCAGGUCAUGUGUGAAAGAAACUACCUGAAGCAAAAUUGGCUCCUGUGCGUUGACUCCAGGGUGAGCUAGAUCCUGCAGGGCCUGGCUGCCUCUUGGCUCUGCACCAGCCCUGCCCCAUGGGGGCUCAGCAGCAACUCCAGAUUUCCUCCUUCCUGCAUCUAGGGACCCCAUGCAUGGGGAUGUUCUAGCUGAGUGACUCCAGCUAAAGCCACAGAUAGUGCACAUGUCACUGUGGCUUGGGGCCAGAGUCAGGGGCAGAGCCAGCCUCUACCCACCCAUUGAGAUGCGGUUUCUCAGUGUAAAAUCAAGGCUCUGUUGCCAGAGGAAAAACACCAGGGGAAACUGAGGCUGGGGUCUUCUGCAGAAGUGUAGAAGCUCAGGGGACUCAUGAAGCUUUAUUCCAAAGCCCUAGUAAGGCACCGUCUCCUCCCACCAGUACCGUGUUCCAUCUCCUAGUAAUUCUCUUCCAAUGCCAGCAGGGAACAGUGUGAUUAGGGCCACAUUAUUAACUUGCCAAUCUCAUUUCUGGGGCACAAAUGCUAAAGGCUUAGGCAACCCACUGGUAAUUUGUCUCCAGGACAAAUUACUUGGGUAUCUAUUAAAUAUCUGGGGAAAUGUCAGGCAGGACCUGUCAUGCUCCUAGAAAGAGAAAGCCAAUCAACUGGAGCAUCAAUUGGAUCUGGAAUCAGCCUCCAGCAGGGCCAAGAAGGAGGCCUCACUGCUCCCUCUACUGGAACCAGGAGCACUUGGCAUGCGCUCUGGUCUCUGCUACCUCAUUAAUUCCUUAGUCACCUGCCCAAAUGAGUCCUGGCUGAAAGAGGGGAACAGAGCAGUGCUGAGGAGGGACAGAUGCUCAGGCAGAUGGGCAGAGACCAACUGCCAGGCUAGCUCUUGUCUAUUUGGCAAGCAACACUCAUGUGCUCUGGGUGCCUGAUAGGUGCCCCCAGAUGAGUACCAAUGACCACACCCUCACAAGCCCUACCCAUGGCUUUGCCCAUGGUGUAGCCCCAGCACCCCCUCUGGUGCAGUAUAUUACCCCACCCUGGUCUACUCAGCAAGUGAUUGAGAGCUGCCAAUUCCCAGCCCCCAGCCUUAUGUCUAUUCAUGACACUGACAUAUGGUACCUCCACAGGGGUGGAGUGGUCCAAGGAAGCUGCUAAUUGAGACAGUGAAGCAUGUACUCAUUUGAGCCCUGCUGAAGUAGAACAAAUGUAAGAUGCUAGGGAGCAGAGGGCAGCCUGGGGGUACUGUGUGUCUGCAUGCAGCACUGCAGAGGUGUGGGAGGAGGGAAGGGGGAAUAUGGGCAGGCUGAGGGGCUUGGCAGUGGGUUCUGGGCCUCAGAAGAUUCCUGGGGCUCAGUUGGUGGGGUCCUAAGGAACUGGGCUGGCCAUCCUGGCCCAGGCAGGCUGGCUUGUAGCAAGAGCUCAGCUGGCAGCAGGUCCCAUCUUCUCCCCUCCUCUCACACCAAAGGAAUGUUAAGCCAGUGACCAUAGAUGCACCAGAGGCUCAUCCGCUCAGCAAAUAGGCCCUAAAAUGUUCUAGUUCUUUCUGCAACAAAGACGUUCUAUCUCACAUUGAAGCAAAGUUUUGAGAGUUCUGAGCCAGUGUCUUCUGUUUUUAUUGGCCCAUUUCAGUGAUUAGGGUAAUGCUGCCCACCAGUGCUUUCCCCACCAGGCCCCUGCUACAUGCUGGGCUCCCUCUCCAGUGCCCAGCUGAGGAUCAACCACCAAAAAGCCCUACUCCUGGGACUGGAGAGGGCAGAGCUGAGCCAAAGGCCAGGAUCCCAGGGUCCUCAGCAGCCUUUCCUCCCCACCUAGGUCUGGAGCUUGCUGCCUGGAAAGAGGCUUCUUUACCAACUGGCCACAUGCAUCCUAGGUGACCAAUGGGUUUGAGAUCUAUGGCCACCACCUCCCAGGAGGUGCAGGUUCAUGAUCCCCUGACCCAGUAUGACCACCUGCCCCUGCAGUGAUAGAAGUCAGAGGAGAUGGAGAUGGGAUCCAGGACAGGAAAGGCUAGGAUACUCAGGCUGUCUAGGGGGAGAGCUGGGGGUGGGGCUUGCCCUUGGCUCCAGCUGAGCUUCUGAGCCUCUGGGACACUAGAAAGUUCUGGAUGCCCUUCCAUUGGCCUGAGCUUGCUCUCUGUGCAGUGGCAGCCUCAUGGGGAAUGACUGAGGGGUCUACCUGUUCCUUCUUGGCAGGGGUAGGUCUGGGACCUGGAACUAGUACCCCAACACUGUGGGCUUUUCCAGGGAGUGAAGCAGUGGCAGUCUUAUCCAUCAAGGGCAAAGCCUGCUAGAGAGGGGCCCCCAUCAACUCCCUCAGGCAGCUGGACUGAGGGGCUACUGCCAGGACAGCUCUGACUCCAGGUCCACCAACACCCUUAUUCCAGCCCUGUUGGGCCAUUUGGGUAUUCUGACCUGCCCAGCCUCACCAUGGACAAGGAGCUUCUGUCUCAAUGGAAUGUUUGGGGAGUCUCUGCCCCUGGCCCUGACCUUGGCUGGCAGUGUUCACAUCUGCUGCAGGUACGGGGCCUACUGCAUGUCAGGCACUGAUGUGCAAUACGGCUUCUGCUGCCACCAUCUUGGGGCAGAUGACUGACAGUGAGCUAAGUGUGUAUGAGGGAAGGAAUGCCCUAGAAACCCCUUCCUGCAGGGAGUAUAGGGUGAGAGAGGAAGGCACCUGCUGGUGGAGGGAGCAGGGACCACAUGUGAGGGAGAGUGCUGGGAUCACAUGGGCUCUAAGGUUGGGGUGGGGCCCAGGAGCCAGAUCCUGGACACAGGUAGCUUGGACCCAGCCUUAGAGAGGGUGCAGGACCUUGCAGGACAGGAUUGGCAUGCCCCUGUCAUGCCUGGCCAGGUGGUCUUAGGCAAACCCCUUCCUUCUCAGUUCUUCAGGGCCUGAAGGAGAGUGUUUGGUGUCUUUUCGUGCUUUCAUUUCCUGAUCCCUGAGCUCGGCAGGAUAGGGGCUUCCUCAGCACACAGAUCCUGCCAUCAGCAGGGUCCUCCGGCCAGGAGGUAACAGGGCCCCAGCACACCCUAUCAGACUCCCCUCAGGGUGUAAAGGAAGGGCCUCUAUCCUGAACUCAGAGACUGAGGCUCCCACAGAGCUUGAAGUGGCUGUCAUUGAGGUCCCCAUUCUGAGCAAGAUCCUUUGUCAGGGUGGGUCAGGACAACAAAGGGACACUCUCCAUGUUACACCUCCAACAACCUUGCACAGAGCCAAGUACUUGGCUCUGGUGCCCUGAAGUUUUCAGAGAUUCUUUUUCUUGUUAUCUAUAACCAUUAAUGAUCAUUUUUAUGUUCCCUAUGAGAACUCACUUCCCCAAAGGAUCUGGGUCUACAGCUGCACAAAGCCAUAGCAGACACCAGCCCAUCCUUGAGGUCCCAUCUACACUAUAGAUUUUAGCAGACUUAAAGUAUGAAAAAAAAAAAACAUGCAAACAUGAGAGAUUUAUUUCCCUCUCUUAUUUAAUGCAUAGGACAAAAUGCCCAAUGUUGCUGGGUAUUAGUUUGCUAUAAAAAAAAAAAUAGCACAAUCUAGAUGGCUUAAACUACAGAUCAAGGUGUGGGCAAGGUUGAUAUCCUCUGAGGCUGGAAGGGAGAAUCUGCCCCAGGCCUCUCUCCAGCUUCUGGAGGUUUCCAUCAAUCUUGUAUUCUUUGGCUUGUAGAAGUAUUACUGCACCUCUGCCUACAUCUCACAUGGUGCUCUCCCUGUGUACCUGUGUCCCAAUGUCCCCUUUUCAUAAGGACACAGUCAUAUUGGAUCAGGGUCUGUGAUAAUGGUCCAGUUGAGGCUACUUUUAUAAGGGACAUAAUUCAACUUCUAAUGAGCUGUCUUAGUUUCUUUUCAGGGCCAAGAUAAUUUUGAGGGUUCCUAUCUCACAACUUUAUUUACCAUGAGCAUGAAAUGAUUGAUAUUUCAUACGUAAGCCUCUGCACAAGGCCACUGCAGAGUGUGUGUGCACCCUGUGACGUAUCCCUUGAGCAAUAAACAGGACAUGUGUACAGAUAGACUCCUUUUUGACUCAAUCUGCUUUCCUCAAAGUAAACUCUCCUUAAUGAGCCAUUAGUUGGCUGUGAUUUCUGUAACCAGAGAGGCAGAAAAAGAGGACAAUAUUUAUUUGACACAUAAAUAAGAACACUUGUAAACAUGAAAAACACAUUACAGGGCUGAAUUUAAUUGAUGUCUUUCAAACAUGUGACUGUUCAAGACCAUGUGAUUUCUACCAAAAAGCUUUCAAAACAAUGUGCAGGAGACAGAGUAUUUCUCUCUACACACUGAUUGUGUUAACUGGAUGUGUUCUAUAAGCUGCCCUUAAAAAAGUGACCAAUACAAUUCUGUAUUUGCUUGACAAACUUGAUUACAGUAGCAUUUGGUUUGCUUAUUAAUAUCUCAAGUAAUAAUUUCAGUAAAGCAAUGAUCUCCAAAGUGCAACCUUCUAGUUUCAAAUAUAAAAUUUAUAAACUAUUCAUCUGAACUGACUUGUCUUACACUCUCUGCCUUUGAUAUCCUUAAAGAGUCAAAGCCAGAGCCAGCAGCACUGCACAAGGCCUGCCCUUCCUCAGGCCCAAGGACUAAAAAGCCACCCCACCACUCAUAUCCGUACGUUAAGAUAUUUCUAUGCACUUAAAAAUUAUUUUGUUGAUUUUGAAGUUUUUCUCUGAAAAAUUCCUGGUUUAAGAAAUAAGCUAGUAUCAGAAAGUCAAGGAUCCACUGUUUUCUUAUGUUGACACUAGAACAAAAAAAAAAAAAAGAAAAGAAAAAGGAGAGAUAAAUUCUAUGGAAAUAGGAGGGAGAUCAGUGGAGUCCAGAAAGGAGCUGGGGGCUAGGGAUGGGGAAAGGGAGGAACUGCAGAAUGAAACUGAUCAAGUUAUGCUGUGGACAUGUAUGAAUACACCACAGUGAAUUUCAUUUUUGUGUUUAUCUAUACAGCACAAAUAAGAAGACCAAUAUAGAGGAAGGGAAACUGGGGAGGGAGGAGGAGAGGGGAAAGAGGAAGUACUUAUUCCUGUAUGGAGCAAAUUAUAGUUCAUCCAUACAUGACUGUGUCAAAAAGAACCCCAUUAUUAUGUAUAACUAUAAUGAACUAAUAAAAACCCUUAAAAUACGAACAUUAGUAACUCAAGUCUGUUAAGCAUCUUAUCAUCAGGAAUUAUUUUAUUUGCAGAUAUUUCUAGGAAAGGACAGUAAUUAAAGUGACUGUGAUCUUUCUUAAAAAAUAGCAAACUCAUGAGUUUGUCUUAAAUGAAUUAUAACUUCAAAAAUGAAUUAAUAAUAAUGUCCCUUUCUUUUCAUUCUUAUUUCUGUGGAGUGGAGAUAUGAAAUUAAGAUGGAUUCCUAUAAAAUCCUCAAAAAGUUAAGUGAUUUUUCUCUUUACUAUUAACUAUUUCUUGGUCAUAAUCUGAGCUUCUGAUAAUGCUUGUUAGUUAGGGUUUUAUCAUUGUGACCAAAAUACUUGACAAAAGCAACUUAGAAGAGGAAAAGUUACCUUGGGCUCAUGGUUUUAGAUGUUCAAGUUUAUGGCCAGUUUGAUAGCUCUGAGCCCAAGAUGAAGCAGAGCAUCAGGGCAGAAGGACAUGGCAGAGAAAAGCUGCUCAACCCAUAGCAGCCAGGGAGCAGAGAGAGAAUAAAGCAACAGGGACAAAAUACAAAUAUCCAGAGACACACCUCCAGUGACCUACUUCCUCUAGCUCCUCCCCACCUGCCUACAAUUAUGCCCCAGUUGAUCCAUUCAAAUUGUUAAUUCAGAGAAUGGAUGAAUUUACUGGUUAGGUCAUGGCUCAUAAUCUAGUUCUUUAACCCCUAAGAAUUCCUGCAUUAACAUAGGAGCUUUAGGGGGACACCUCACAUACAAACCAUAACAAUGCUAAUAGUAGUGCUUUCUGACCAUAAGAAAUCCUCAUAGUUCUGGGUUGUAGGUUGUUAUGGUUUGGAUGUGGUUUGUUCCUUAAAGGUUCAUAUGUUGGAAUUUGGUCCUCAGUGGGAGGUAGUGGGACUUUAAGAGGUGGGGCCUAGUGAUAGUGAUAGAUAAUCAGGACAUGGGAGUUCACCCUUGGAAGGGAUUUAUGCUAUCUCUCAGGAAUGGGUCAGGUCUGAUAAAAGUGGAUUUGUUCAUAGGACAGCAGGUUGUUCUACAAGAGAGAGCCGUAUCCUGUCCAAUCUCUUGAUUCUUGGUCUUGUUAUGCCACCUCUUCUGUCAGUGCUCCCACCUUUAUGAAUCCAUCUGCCAUGAGCACCUCACUAAAGCAAGUAGAAGCCAGCACCAUGCCCUUGGCCUAUGAGCUAAAUAAGCCUCUCUUCUUUUAAAAAAGUACAUAGUCUCAGGUAUUUUAUUAUAGCAACACAGAUUCAAGCAGAGUUUUAUAGACAGAUUUCUGUGGAUAUGUACUUCUUCUCUUGACAUAGGGAAGGUGGGAGGGUUCUUUGACUCUCCCACCAAAGGCGGCACCAAGGAGGGUGUUGUGGGCCAAGGAAUGGAGGGAAGGGCACUCCCCUUAUCCCCUUCUUCUCAGGAUGGCUCCACUACUCUUUCCUUAUCCCCUUCUUCCCUGGAUGGUUCCACUACUCUUUCCUUGCCAUGAUAGGGUAGCAGCAUAUGGUAUUGGUGCCGCCCAAGUGGGCACAGCAUAAUAGAAAAGGAAUUUGGAUAAAGUGGUCCUAGAGAAAUCGAGGCUUUAUCUGAGGUGAUUCAGUGAUUCUGUAGGGUAUUUGGAGCCAGAAGCAUCAUUGUCUCCUGGCAAGGUGUUAAUAAUAACACCAGAAAUUCAGAGAAGGAGCUCCUGAUCUGUUUCCACCAGCCUCUAGAGAAUGUGUAUGCAGGUUGCAGUAUGUAAGCCAUUAUCCAUCUGGGAUAAUAGAGAUGUCUUUAGUGCAAUAUGGGCCUUUCUAAUCAUUUAAAUCUUGUUUGGGGCAGUGGUUCUCAACUGGUUUUUUUCCAGUUAGGGUCAUUUGCAGGGUCUGGUGACCUGUUUUGGUUGCCAUGAUUUCUAAGUGUGGGCAGAGGUCAGAGAUCUCCAGCCACAAAGAUGUGAAGGAUCCACAGCACUAAAUGUCAAUAACAACAAGAUCUAGAAUUAUAUGGGUAUCGGGUCCUGUAUAGAGCAAAUUAGUUCUUAUUUGCAGCAAUUUAGGACUAGAUUAGACCUUUACAUUGUUUUUGUUCACAGCAGUUGAUGCCUUAUUCUGUGGAUUAGAGCAGUAGUGCAAUUCAGUGUUUAUUUAAGGACAUUUAUUCUUAAGGGAACUUCACAAGGAGGAAAUCCAUGUCUGGUCCUAGGCCCUCUGAGAGGACUGCACAGUUUUCUUUUGCUACAGGCCCUUUCUGUAGGAUGAGGCUUCAACAGAGGUUAUUACCACCACCUUGUGGCCAUCUUGUGCAUAUUCGAUGCAUAGGCUGGGUCUCCUAUUAAUUAUUAAUGAUUUAUUAUGAUUGAUAAGACAUAACUCAACCUUUAUAGAAUCCAUUUACUUCCUGGCAUAAAUUUUAUACAGAGUUGUUUUUCUUAUUAAGUAAAAUCUCAAGGUGAUUUAGAGAUUUUCUUUAAAUGAAUAAGUUCCUCACUCUCUUUUAAAUUUGAAAUAUGAAUUAUGAUGAUAAAACAUUAAAGUGUUUUGUUAAGGCAAGUAUUCAUUGUUAAAGAUUUGGUAAAAGGCACAAAAUGAUAACAAAGAUCUGAACAUUGUUUUUAUAAAUUCCUAGUGAUUGCAAGAACAAUUUAAUAAUGAAAACAAUAACAUCAAAUCAUUUAAAAAUACCCUUUGUCUUGGAAAUAUUUACUGAAAAGAAUUCAUAUAAAACAGAUAUCAUUUUAGCUGUUAUUUUAUUUACUAUGACAAAACUGUGACAUAAUUUUCAUAAACUGUUGAAGUUUUUUCUGAACAACUUUAAUACACCUGUUCAAAAUGUUCACUUAGUUUUGACCAAUAAAACCAUAUAGCUAUGAAACCACUGAACAUUUUCACUGCCCCAAAGUUCCUUCCUACCUUUAAGAAGCCAUUCUCCCCAUCCUGGCACCAGAAGACCACAGAUCUUAUUUCUAUCACUAGAUGGCUUUUGUCUCUUUAGAAUUUAACACGAAUGGGGUCAUUAGUAUGCAUUCUGUUGUAUCUGACUUAUUUUGUUUGGAGUAAUGGUUUUGAAUUUCCUACCUUUUGCUUCUUUUUACUGUUGAGUAGGAUUUUGUUGUAUGGAAACACUAAAAUUUGCUUUGCUUUUUACUUAUUUUUUUUAAAUAUAUUUUUGUUUUAGUUGUAGAUGGACACAAUGCCUUUAUUUUUUAUUUAUUUAUUUUUAUGAGGUGCCGGGGAUCAAACCCAGUGCCUCACGCAUGCUAGGCAAGCGCUCUACCACAACCUCAGCUCAUGCGUUUUACUUAUUGAUGGACACUUGAGAUGUUUUCAGUUUGGGGCUGUUAUGAAUAAAUAUGAUAUGAACAUUUUUGUUAUAAGUAUUUAUGUAGAUAUAUAUUUUCAUUUCUCUUGAGUAAUUACUUAUGAAUACACUUUCAGGUCAUGUGUUAAGUACAUGUUUGUUUAAUUACAUGGGAAACUUCCGAAUGACUACUAAUUUACACCAGAAAUGUGUGAUAGUUCCAAUUAAAUACACAUGCUUGCCAAUAUUUGUCAUUUCCUGAGAAUUUUCUUAUGUGUAAAUAAAUACAGGUAUUUUAAUGAGUAUGUAGUGAUAUAUUAUCAAGGCUUUAAUUCACAUUUCCAGGGAACUGUGUAAUGAUGUGAAAUCUUUUCAUAUGCUCUUUGGCCUUCUUUAUUUUCUUUUGUGAAACAUUUCUUCCAAUCUUCUGCCUAGUUUGCUAAAAUUAAAAUUGUAUUGAUAACUAUAGAUUGUCAUUAUAGUUGGCAUAGAGAAAAGUGAUUGUAACUGUUGUUUGACUGAUUUAUAUUUUCAUUUAUCUUCAAGGAAAAAAUAUAACUUCAUAUCUAAUCAGAUACCAGUUGCUAGACCUUGUCUCUUUUAUAUAUAUUAUGUGUGUGUGUGUAUAUAUAUAUAUAUAUAUAUAUAUAUAUAUUUGUACUAGAGACUGAAACUGGGGCCUUUUAUAUGCUAUACAAUUGCUCUAAUUAUGCUUUAGUUAUAUUCUCAGACAUUCUGAAAUUUAUUUUGAUGGUCUCACCAAGUUGCCCAUUCUGGCUUUGAACUUGUGAUCCUCCUGCCUAAUGCUUUCUGAAAAAGAAAAAAAAAAACUUUGGUAAAAGAGACAACAUAAAACUUAUGCUAUCAAUUGUUUUUAAGUAUACAUUUCAGUUGUGUUUAAUAGUUAAAUAUAUUAAUGUUGCUAUGCAGUGAUUGGUAUUUGUUUGUUGGCCUUGUGUUCUGUAACCAUGUUAGAGGUUAUUUCUGCAACAUUGGCAUUUUUACAUGAUUCACUACUUGGUUAUGGCCCCAUGUAUAAUAGAUGUCCACUAGAUCAUCCCAGUUCUAAAUUAUUCAGUGGAGGAAUGAUAUAAAUAAAAACUUUUAAACAGAUUCAGAAAUGGUACAUUUCACAACACGACUAAUCUCAUCCUUCAAAAAUCAAUGUAAAUUCCCCAACAAAGAAAUAAAAACACAUUACCAAAUACAAAAAAGCCACAAACAGAAAAGAGCACCAAAAAUGGUAAAAUGUACAUAAAUAUAGAAUACUCUUGUCUUUUGUUUUACAAAUUCUUGACAAAAUAAUUUACUAUUUAAUUAAAAGCAAUAACAAAAGUGCCAUGGGGUUUCUAACAUAUACAGAAAUAAUAUGUGUGAAUACAUGGACAUACACAAACAAUGGGAGGAGGAAAUGAAUAUAUUGAUAUGCAAUUUUAAAAAAAAAUUUAGUUGCUCAGGGACCUUUAUUUAAUUUAUUUAUAUGUGGUGCUGNAAGACCUAAUGAACAGCAAAACCCAACUCUAUAACAUACAUGUAAAAAGUGCACUUCAAAUCUAAGUAAACGUAUAGAUUAAAAGGAUGAAAAUGGUAUGUGAUGCAAAAGUUAAGGAAGGAAAGCAGGGAGGACUACAGCAAUAGCAGAUCAAAGAGAUUCCUGCACCCAAGUAUUGCUGUGGAGAAAGAGGAAAUUUUCAUAAUGACAGCAAUAUCAAUUAAACAAACAAUCAAAAAAGCUAUACUAAGUCUCUGUGAAUACAAUAAGAAAGCUUCCAAAAACAUGAAUCCAAGAUUGCUUGUUAUAAAAAAGAAAAAUAGGAGAAUCUUCAAUCAUACUGAAAGAUUUUACCCUUUGUUUCUCAAGAGGAUUUGAAAAUCUUGACAACCAACUUGUCUUAGUUGAAUUAUCUGACAAAAAAUACUCCAACAAUGACAUCAAAAUACACAUUCUUUUCAAAAGCCAACACAAAUGAUGUUCUGGGUCAUAAAUUUAGUCUCAACAAAAUUUAAAGGACUCAAAUUAUGCAGAAUAUGUUCUCUGAACAUAAUGCAAUUAUACAGAGGAAAAUGUUUAUAACAGAAAGAUAUUAUGGAAAUCCUAGAAUAUUGGGAAGUUAAAUAAUGCUCCUCUAAAAUGGUCAUUGACCAAAGAAAAAUAAAAAGGUAAAUCUUAAGAUUUUUUGAAAUUGAAUGAUUAGGAAAACAUAGCAUACCAAAUUUGUGAGGUUCAGCUGAAGCAAGCCAAAAAAGUUAUUUACAGUUUUAAAUGUAUUAAAAAAGAAAAAUAAUUAUAAAACAAAAGCAAAUAGAUUCAAAGUAAAUAGAAGAUUCUUAUAAGGGCUAAACCAGCAUGAUAGAUAAAAAGGAGAACUAUGGAAGAUCAAUGAAAUAAAAAUUUAAAUCUUCAAAAAUAUCAAUGAAACUUACAAAUCUUUAUAUGCAUUAAGGGAAAAAAGAGAAUAUCAAAAAUAAAAUAAAAGACAUCACUAUAUAUCCUAAAAAUACUGAAUGUAAUUGAAUAUAUAUUGAAAGGGUAAUAAUUAAAUAUUAUAAAACACUUUGCUAAAAAAUUAAAUAACAUAGAUCAAAUAAAAAACUCCUUGAAGACAUAAUACAUAAAUAACACAAGAAGAAAAAAAUUAUAUGGCCAUCCCAUAUGUAUUUUAAAAGUUGACUUUGUAAUAAGAAAUUUCCCAUGAACAAAACUCCAGACCCAGAAGACUUCACUGGUUAAUACUGUCUAACAUUUAUAUAUAUAUAUUUCAUAAAUGCUUUCAGAAAAUUAAGGAGGAGGGAACAUUUUGCAAAUUAUUUUAUGAGACCAGAAGUGUCAUGAGUCCACAAAGAUUAUAAAACAAGAAAAAGUAUGACUAAAAUGUCAUGAAAAUCGAAACAAGAUCUAUGAACAAUAGUAGCAAUUCAAAACAAGCAAUAUAGAAAAUUGAUAAUGCAUCAGGAUACAGAACACUUGCCCCAGAAAUACUAAAUUGAAAAACUAAUUAUUGUAAUACACCAUUUUAGAAUAAAGGGCAAAAAAAUAUGAUCAUCUCAAAAGAUGCUAUGGUAACUUUUCAUCACUAUAAAUUCAUACAUUAAAAAAAGUCUGUUUCUGGAUCACAAUCUUUGAAAUUCCAAUCCAUGUUCUGUUGGCAUCAUUGAUUUGGGCCUGCCUGAUGUGAGGUAGCACAUCAUGAUGGAGGUGCCUGGUGAAGUAAAACCACUCCCCUCAAGGCCAGGGAGCAAAAGAGAGAAAGAGGAGGGUCUAGUCCCACUAUCAUCUUUGAAGGCACAUCUCCACUGACCUAAAGACAUCCUACUAGUCCCCGGCUCUUGAGGGUUUCACUAUCUCUGAAUAGUGUCACCCUGGGGACCAAACCUUUAAUAAUCCAUGAACCUUUAAGAGGACACUUAUUCCAACCGCAGCAGAUGUAGACUAAAUAUUUUAAAACUCCAAUAACCAUAUGUAAUACAACCUCAUAGUAAAUUUAAGUGGGAAGAAAUUUCCCCAAUAUGACAAUGGGUGGCAAGGAAAAUCCAUUGGAAAUAUAAUACUAAAUCUUGUGCCUUAAUUUCUUCUUCUAUAAUCUAGGACAAGGUUCUCACUUCUCCCAUUCAAGAUUUCAUUGGAUAUUCAAGCCAGUCCAGUAAAUUAAGACCAAAAAAAAAAAAAAAGAAUAAUCUACAGAUUUUAAAGGAAGAAGUAAAUAUGUGUUUAUUUGAAACAAUGUUCUUAUGGAAAUAGAAAAGUCUACGGAAUCUAGAAAAAAGUACUAGACCAGGUAAGUUGAAGUUAACAAAGACAAGAUAAAAGGUCAUUUAUACAAAAAUAAAUUUUUAUUUCUAUUAAUUGGCAACCUACAAUAUAAGAAUAAAAAUGUAAAAGCCACAAUACCACUGACAAUACCACGUUAGAGGUAUUUCUAACUAUAAAGAGAAAGAUCAUGAAUUUGAAAGUGAAAAGACUAACCAGAGAGGAGCAAAUACGUUUUCAGAUGAGAAAGAAUUGAAAUGUGGAAUGCAAUACUUUCAAUGUGUACAAUCCACAAAUGACUGUCAUUGAUAACAGAAAGAAUCAUUUUUAGGUGUCACUUUAGUGUGGCCAUCCAUGAUCACUAGCCUUAAAAUUCAAGUGUAUGAAAAUAAACUAUGAGGGGCCACUUAUGAAAGACUGGAAGCAGAGUUAGCUGGCACUGUGACUUGGGAAGCAGUUUGGCAUUAUUCUUACUGUCAGAUGUGCACGCUCCCAGUGACCCAGAAACUCCACUCCCAAGCUGAUAAACUCUAGAAACACUUUUGCCCACUUUCAUAAUGAAGAUUAUAUACAAUGGUAUCAUGUAUAAGAACAAAAUAAUUAAAUAAAAAUAAAUUGCAGUAGAGUCAUGCAGUGGUGUAUAUGAUGAAGUGCUUGCAAUAACAAGGAUUAAUGCAAGUUUCUCAACUUUGACAUUGGCAUUUUGGGCUGGCUAACACUUUGUUGUAGAGGGCUGUCCUGUGUAUUGGGGAGUUAAUCAGCAUCUCCAACUUCUCAGGGAAAGGCCAGCAGCAUUCUCACAUAGAGACAGUUGAAAACAUAUAGAUGUUGCCAAAUGUCUCUGGGGAGGCAAAGACACCUCUGCUUGAGAACCUCUGAUGCAAAGUGAAAAAUCAACCAUAGAAAUCUAUAAAGUAGAAUAAUACUGUACUAAUAAUGCAUAGAAAAAAUAAAAAGUAAAAUUCUCCUGUUGUCUCAACAUGUCACAAUUGUGUAAAUUGUACAUUCACACAUGUGUUUGUGUAUGUUUGAUAUGUAUAUACAUAUCAAAUACAUACCUUCUCAGGACAGGCAUAUUUAAAGUCAAGAGAAUUAUGAGCUCCACAUCUGGAUGGGUGCUCACUUGGGGUUGGGAGAAAAUGCAGGAGGAUGAACAGGUGGGGUGUACUCAGAGUUAGUGUUCUGAUCAUGAUCUUUGGCAAAUUGUAGCUUUGGGGACUUGGCUUUGCUUGGUUGUUUUUCUGGUAGUCCUUCUCAGAUAAUGUGGUGACUCUGGGGAUUGAACUGGAAACACAAUCAUCUAUGCUGGCCUUACACCUGGCCAGGCUGGAAUAGAGGGUGUUCCUAUGUUAGGCUUUUCAUUUCGGACUUCAUCAGAGAGUGGUGUUUUCAUAUUUUCAAAAGGUAAGCACUAAUAUGCACAUGUUUAUGAAGCUUCUGCUUCUGCCAUAUUUGCCAGUAUCACCUUGGACAAAGGGCAAUAUUUCAGUAAGUAUUUUCUUUUUCUUUUUCCACUGCAACCAAAAUACCUGAAAAGAACAAUUAGAGGAGGAAAAGUUUAUUUUGAGAUUCAUGGUUUCAGAGUUCUCAGUCCAUAAAUGGCCAACUCUGUGGCAGAACAUCAUGGCAGAAAGGUGUGGAGGAGGAAAGCAGCUCAGAUCAUGAAACUCAGAAAGCAGAGGGAGAGAGCCCUGCUCUCCAGGAACAAAAUAUAUACCCCAAAGUCAUACCCAUUGCGACCUACCUUCUCCAGCCAACACUCCCUGCCUACAGCUAUCACCCAGUUAAUACAUUCAGGUGGAUUAAUGCACUGAUUAGGGUAAGGCUCCCACAACCCAAAUCAUUUCACCUCUAAACUUUCUUUCAUUGCCUCCCAUGUGAGCUUUUGUGGGACACAUCAUAGUAAAUCAUAACAGAAGCCCCUUGGCUAGGUCAGAAUCAGUAUAUGAGGGGCUCACACAAGGUUGUGUAUCUUGGGUGUUAUGGAUAACUGAGGGCCAUUAAUGUAGCAGUUUAUCAAAAUAAUCUUGAGGAACUUUGGCUCAGCUGCACUGUAAUCAUUUAUGGUAAUAGCUUUUUCAUAUUUGGUAUGGCAGAAAAAUAGAAGUAAAAUUGCAUCUCACACAUUGCCUUUCUUCAUCAUUAGUUAUAACAAACAAGAGGUAGCAUUAGAUAUUUAAAUAUUUGUUGCAUCCUUUCUUUUUGAUCUCUCCAUGGUUCAUACAGAAGCUUCUAAAGAUCAAGUGGAGCCAGAGUGACAAUAUAUCAGAAAUCAAGAGGUCUCCAUUGUACAGUUUUCUAAAGGGCCUAUUUGACCCAAGAGAUGUGUGCUAAGUUCAGAGGUAUGCAGGAGGUUCAGGAGCCUGGCUUUCAAUCUUGAAAUCUGAGAAAAUAUUCCUAUAAUUUUGUGCUGCUUUGGCUCCAAGGAACCACUUUGGAGGAGACCCUGGUUCAACCACAAUACCAGGCUUCCUCUUUAUAAUUUUGCGUCACAUUGAAACUGUGCAAGUUAGGAGACUGAAGAAACUUGGAGUGGGAAUCUUAAGUACAGAAUUGGUCUUAGGUAGCACGUCAAGGCUGAGGACAUGACUGUAAUUCAGAAGACAGGGAGCCCACAUCUGAGGAUGAAGGUGGCAAAGGUACACUGAAUCUAACAGCUCAGCCUAAUUUUCUUGAUUUCUUAAUGGGACUGAAAUAAUAGCCUUGUCAUUUAUUUAUUAAAGAGAGGAAUAGAGAAGCCAUCUCUUGUGGGUUAUCAUACUAUCUGGAACAUUUGAAGUCUUUUAAUAUACAAUAUCUAAUAAUAACCAUACAUGGGUGAGACAAAAAAUGAUGAUAGAUAGCAAGAGGGAAAGAAAUACAGGCAGAUCUCCAAGGGGCCCUGAUAUUGAAAUUGUUCUUUAACAUGACCAUGGUUAAUGUGUUGAAGAUGGUAGAUGAAAACAUAGUCAGAGGAGGUAGAAUGACCUACAAUGUCAUUAGGAAAUUUGAGUCCAUGUUAAAAAUCAAGAGAAUAUUAUAGAAUGGACAUAUAAUAUGUAGGAAAUCAAGAAUUAAGAAAAUGAGUUUUAAUCGCUGAUUUGAUAUAGCAGAGCUUAGAAUUACUGAAGUAGAAGACAAAUCAAUAGCAAAUAUCCAAACUGAAAUAAAGAGAAAAUGCAUUUAGCUACAUAAAAGAAAUCUGUGAUACACAUUCAAAAGUUAACAUGCAAAAUUUGAGUCCUAAAAAAGUGAAAUAGAAAUGGCAAAGAUAACAUUAAAAGAGAAUGAUCAAAAAUUUCAAUAAAUUGAUGAAAGGCAUUAACCCAGAGAUUCAGAAAAUUCUGCAAAAUCCACACCUAAGCACAUACUAGUAAAAUUACUUAUAACCAAAGCUUCAAGGGAAAUAUUGAGAGUAGACAGUGAGAAAAGGCACAGUACACUGAAAGAACACAGUGACAACUCACUGCUGACAACUUACAAAUCCAGGAGUCAAUGGAAUAACAUUUUUUUUAAGUGUUAGGGUUUUAUAUCCACCAAAAUUUCUCCCAAAGCAAAGGUGAAAUAAAUGAUUGCUGACAAAAAGAAACUCAAGAAAUUGAUUGCUAUCAUUCUUAUACUAAAAUAAAUACUGAAGAGAAUUCUUGGGACAAGAAUAAUGGGUGUCUGAGGUUGGGCCCUGCUUACAAGUUCCCUCUGUCAAGUGCAAGGCCUUUGGGUCAAAGACAAAAGCAGCCAGAGGAAUAUGUAGUGCUUCCAAGAGACCCAGUUCCCCCAGGACAAUGCAAUAAGUACUGAAGACAGUGCAGUGCUGGUAGGAUCACUGCUGGUAUAGAUUGAUGGAAAGGGAGAGUCCAGAGGAACCCUUUAUAUUUAUGGUCUGUUGAUAUUUAACAACAUUGCCAAGACAAUUCACUAGAGGAAAAAAAGACUCUUUUCCACAGAUGGUGCUGUGACAAUAGUUAUCCAUGUUCACAAAUACAGAGUUGGACUCCUUCUCACAACAGGUACAAAUAUUAACUCAAAAUGGAUCAAAUACUUAAAUUUAAAUAUAAAAAAUAUUUUUUACACUGAGUUAGGCAAUGCCUUGAUGGUGGCACAGCCUUUUCCCCCUGCAGCAGGAGUCACCUUCAUCCCUCAGUUGUGAAAAGCCAAGUGCAUCCCCAGUGGAGGGUGCAUAUGGGACCAAGGGUUCAAAGCUUCCAGUUUCUGUUGCCCUGCCAGACCUUGUGAUACACAGAUGAUACACAGUCCAGCAGCCUAAUGGUCUGUGGAGCAAAGUGAAGCAUUUAAUAUUCAGUUUAGCUAUUGCUGAGUGAUCACCCAAGUGAUGUUUGAGACUGACAUCCCACAGUAGGAGCAAAAAAUGUUGGAGAAAUGGAAACAGUCUAUUUCAGAAAGCCAGGCACAUCCUGAUCUCAGUAUUGUGUGGUCUGUCCCUGUAUGUCUGUUUGUAAUAAAACAUUCUUUAUCAAAAGCUAUUCUUGCAGUGUUUUUUCUGUUAAUAAAAAUGAUACACAUUCUAAAAGAAAUUUUUAGAAAAUAUGAAUAGAAAAAAUACCUCAUAAUCUUACUGCUCAACAAUACACAUUUCUAAGAUUUUGGGUGCAUUUCUUCAUAUGUAUAUGGGGAGAUAAAUAUAUGGAUUUUACCAUUUAAUAUUUCAAAUACACAAUUUGUUUAUUAUUUUUUUUAAUAAAGAACACCUUUAUUGAUUUCCUGAUCAGGAUACCUUGAAUUUCCCUGUCUAAUCCAUCCUGACAUUUUCUCCCAGAAUAUAACCACUAACCUGAAUUUAAUCUUCCUUAUUCCUGUAUUUCCCUUUAGACUCUAUUGUGUAUGUAUGCAUUCCUAAACAGUCCAGAGACUUAUUUUGUGUAUUUUAAACAAUUUAUAAAUAGGGUUAUAAUGUCCACAGCCCAGUUGUGCCAGGGCAGUGGAAUAGGUUGCUGAACAACCAGGAAGAGACCUAGAGAUGGUGAGUGAGAUGUAGGGAAAAUGCUUUGGGGGAAGGUCCAGUGGUGACAGGCUGAAUGGGAGGCUUUACUAGAGUCCAGUAGUGAAGGCUGGACCUUCUUCCCUCAUAGUGCUUCACCAAGGAGCACCUCCUGUCCCUCACAAUGCCACCCCAGAAAAGAAUGUCUCCUAUUCCUAUGGCGUUUGUCUUGUGGUGGCCAGCUGAAUGAAAGACACCUAUCCUUUCUGCAGUGCCCUCAGUUCAGCUCCAGUCACUGUAUGGAGGGAGGUUUUGUAGGUUAGGCUGCAGAAGCAGUGACAUCGUUGAUACCUGCUUCCCCACAUGUAGAAGUUUGAACAUUAGAGAGGCAUGCUGAGGCAAGCAUACAAAGCAGGGUUUAUUUAAAAAGGGGUAACAUAGACUUCUCCUGGGAAGAAGAAGGGGGCCAUAGCUGGUAUCAUGGUAUCCCAAGAAGCGAGGUGUUCUGCCCUUUUUAUAUGUCCUAGGAUUCCUUUGUUCUCCUGCCUUUCCCCCCUUGUCCUUCUCCUUUCUGUGUAUGUGACUAGGCUCAGGAAUGCUGUAGGGAUGGCCAAAAGGUGGGAAACAGGUGGGCUGAAGGGGGAAUGGCAGGGUGGAGUAGCCAAGGACACAUUAACAACCUUAUAGCUCCCUGUAGGGACAGGUUACCUUGGCAACAAGUUGGAGCAGGGGCAGGUUCUUGAUAGGAUCCCUCAGGGGACAGUCUCCAACUUCCCAGACUCACUCAAAAUUGGCCUCCUAUAUCUGACCUGACUCAAUUUCCCUAUCUACACUGACUGCCUGUCUAAUUCUGACUUCAUCGUCAGUAUUAGCUUGCUUUGUUCUUUAUAUGACCAACAUCCCAAGGAGAAGUUGUCCUGUCAUGCAUGCAAAAAAGUGGCUUUCUACAGAUAAUACUAACAUGUCCCAGGUCCCAGCAUACAUGAGAGAAUGCCAGUGUCCUUAAAAAUAGCGGUAUCUGGACAUUCUGACUCAGGCCUGCUCUCCAUGUUCCCUUAACUUAGCCUGGUUCCUGGGACCUUAAAGGAGCGUUCCAANUCCACUAAAUGGAUAUACCAACAUGUAAUUUAGUCAAGUUCAAUUUGCAUCUGAGUUUUUUUGCUAGUUGAAAUAGUGCUGCUGCACAUGCAACUUUUAUGUCUUUUUGUGACCUGGGCACCAGAGUAGAUGUCUUGCUGAGUCACAGUGUAAGUAAUCCAUUCCAGUCCCUCCUUUAAGUGAUGUGAGAAAGAAUACAGCCUUCAUUCAGCUGGGCCAAAGAUUUGUCAUUUCUCCAGUUCUUCAGCAAUAAUUAUUGGUUUGACAGUCUGUGUCUCUCAUCUUGCAGUCACACCUAUGAAACCCUGUGCACACCUAGUUCAUAUUUCUCAUAAUUUAUAAGUAAACACAAAAAAUUGUCUUACUUUGGAGUGAGUGUAUGGGGGAGGGUGUGCUCCUGUGCACAUGUGCACAUGUGUAUGUAUCAAAGGGAAAAAAGUUGAGUAAGUUGUAAUCUUAAAAGUAAAGGUAGAAAUUUUCCUAGAAAAGUUUUGAUUUCCUAUUUUGUGUAAUGAGUAGUAUGCUGCAUAGUACCCAAAGUUGGUUUUAAAAAAUAUUUCCAUUAACUAUUUUCAUUUAAAACGAACAUUUGAAAAAAAAAUAAAAUGAGCAUUUGAGAGAAAUUACCAGGGCAGCUCUUUUCCUUAGAAAUAACCUAUUCAUCUUUGAAAUAACAACUGGGAAUUUUUUUCUUUUCCAGGAAAUUCCAGUGGUGACUUUGCAUUAAAAAAUUAAGUACAUAAGAUUGAGGCCUUGGGGUGGGGUUGAUAUUACCAAAGGCUACAAAAAAAUUUAGAUUAAUAUUAUAUGUUAUGUUUUAUGACAAAGAACUCAUUGUUUCUGUUCUGUUUUUUUUUUUAACGAAUAAAUGUUUUCUUGAAAGGUGUUUAAUAUUUUCCCCUCAUUGCUGAUCCUUGGAUGGAAACCAUUCUUUAUAUUUGAUGAACUGUUUUCAAAAAACUCUCUUACCAACAAGUGUACAGUAGUUAUCUAAAAUUGUACAUUUAGAAUGGAGUAGUGAGUGUAAUAUCUUAGUCUCAGAAGUCUUAAAAACAGCAAAAAAGACUGAAUUUACAAAGUAUGGUCUGGAAUUGCUUGUGAGAUUCUAAAGUAAUGAAAAUAAAUGUUUCAGCUUUAGAUUAUAAAACUCCAUUUAUGAUUUUAAAAGUAUACUUGAAAUAAAAAUGAUUAAACUAAAACAAAACAAAAAACAGUGCGACAGCCAAACCUAUUCACAUUACACAAAUGAAGUUAGAAAAGGGAAAUAGAGAAACCAGAAACAUAUGGCACAAAUGGGAAACAAAUAAUAAGUAGCUAAAUCCAAAUAGAUCAAUGAUUUUAUUAAAUGCAAAUGUCUAAGCACAUUAGUCAAAACACAGACUGGCAGAUUGCUUUUAAAGAUAAUAGAAGGGAGACCAGUACAGUAGAGGAAAGGGAGCAGGAGGAAGGGAUGGAAAGGGGAGAUGCUGGGAAAUAAAAUUGAUCAAACAGAUACAUAGCGAUGAAAUCCACUAUUAUGUUUAAUUAUAACACAUCAAAAAAAAUGAAGUUCCUAGAAUUAGAAUUGUUGGCCAAAGAAAAACACAAAUAAAAAAUUUAAAAAACAACAAAACCUGCCUAAGCAAAAAUAAAAUAUACACAAUUAAAAAACCCACAAAAAUGGGACUGGGGCUGUAGCUCAGUGGUAAAGCGCUUGCCUCGCAAGUGUGAGACACUGGGUUCGAUCCUCAGCACCACAUAAAAAAACAAAGCUACUAUAUGUGCUCAUCUACAACUCAAUAAAUACUUUAAAAAAAACACAAAACUAUAUAUUAUUGCUUUACUAUAGUAACAGUGAGAACCUAACUCUACAUAUAGAGAAUAUCCAUGUACAAAGAAUGUCAGAAUUACUUUUAAGAAUAACAAUUUUAAAUGCUCUAGAAGAAGCUGGAAGAAAACAUACCAUGCAAACACUAAUGAAAAGAAAACUGAACCAUCUAUAUGAAUGGUACACACAUAGACAUCAGAACAAAGAACACCACCAGGGAGAAUGAGGGGCAUUCCAUGAUGAGGUAAGAGUCAUUUUAUGAGAAGACACAAUAAUCCUAAAUGUGCAAUGUCAGAGCUUGAAAAUCAGGAAGAGAAAAUUGAAAGAACUUGAAGAAGAAUGUGACAAAUUCAUAAGAGAAAAUGAAGAUUUUGAUCCUGUUCUCCAAGUCAUCAAUCAAACUGAUAGAAAAUCAUCAAGGGUAGUGACAAGAACAAUACCAGGAGCCAAGUGCACAGACUGGACUUUCAUAGACCCUCCACUCAAUGCACAGGGUACAUGUCCUUGCCAAGUGAACCAGAACAGAUCACAUCUUGCAUUUCAGAUCAAAUCUUAGUAGGUUUAAAUAAAUGAAAGUCACAUAAAACACUUUAUAUGGUUUGAUAUUAAUGUAGAAAUCACUAAGAGAAAGAUAACAAUGAAUUCUUUAAACACAUAUUGACCAGCCCAAUUCUAAAUGGCCCAUGGAAUUCUCAUGGAAAUUUAGAAAAUAUUUUCAACUAAACAAAAUAUCAAACUCUGAGUUACAGAUGAAGGCAGUGAUUAGAAGGAAAUGUAUAGUACUGAAAUGCCCACAUUAUGAAAAAGAUAACUCAAUUAAUUAAUAAAAUCUCAAAAACAUAACUCAAUUAACUCUUUGCUCUGAGAAAUUAGACAUCAAAGACCAAAAAUUAAACCCAAAGCAAGUAGGAAGAAAGAAACAUUAAAGAUAAUAACACAGCAAUAAAAUUAAAAACAGCAAAGAAAGAUCAAUGACACCAAAAGGUAGUUCUUUAAAAAUAUCAAUAUACUGAUAAAUCUCUGGAAGAUUUAUCAGUGCAAGAAACAAAUAACCACAGAGUAGUGACCCUCACCAACUGUGUGCACUCACACCUUCUACAGAGCCAAAGAGAAAAUACAGGGAUGGGACUCCACAUUUUGGGAUAUAGCUUCAUAGCAUGAUUGUACUAUAAAAAAAAAACCCACACAUUUAGAUAUUUGAAAAACAUUCUCUGACAAGAUUGGAAAACUCUCUGAACCUUCAUGGAGACAAAAGAUGUAAGCUCAAGAAACUACCUGUACUCUGCCACCAGGAAUUCGCACCCCUGCAAGACACAAGCAGUUAUUUCCCAGAGAGGGACAGGGCCACAGACUUUCACAAGUGUCAGGCCUCACAAGUUCACAAGUCCCUGGCAAUCCCUGGUGUCUAUGCCUCCUCAGGCACACAGCCUGGCUGAAGCUGCCCCUUGGUGAAGCUCUCAGGGAAUGAGUUCCUCAGGGACCCAACAUCCCAUCUCUUCUUCAUUUUAAGACCCUUGUAAUGACGUUGGACCCACCAGAAUAACUGAUAAGUUAUGAAUAACGUUUAUUUUUGAUGAAUGGAAAAGAAACGUAUGAUUUGAAAUUAUGGCCAUUAAUAUCUCUAAACCAUGAUUCUGUCCAUGGGCACAAUAACUAAAGGAUUGCCACAGCUGGCCCACCUGAUGUGCCUCUCCUCAAAUUCAUAUGUUGAAGUCCUAGCCUCCAGGACCUCAUAAUGCAAUGAUAUAUGGAGACAGAACCUUUAAAGAGGGAAGCUGAAGCUCUUUCAGUGGUCCCUAAUCCAGUCUGGCUGGUAUCACUUUAAGAAGAGGAGAUUAGGACCCAGACACUCACAGAGAGACCACCAUGUGAGCACCUAGGAAGAAGACAGCCAUGGAGAGAGGCCUCAAGAGAAACCAUGCUGCUGACACCUGGAUCUCAGAUUUGCAACAUCUAGAGUUGUGAGGCAAUAAACUUCUGCUGUUUGAGUCACUCAAUCUCUGGUGCUUUGUUACAGGCAGCCCUAACAAACUACAAUAGCACCAAUUUCUGGAAACCUGAUCCCUGUUCUAAGAGCAGCCUAUAUACGUUUUUGCCCAUCCCCAUCAGGGAAUGGCAGGGAGUUUCAUAAGAAGAAAAUCUCCAGUCACCAUGCCCAGCCUCACUUGUUCUUAGAGGUCACCAUGCUGUUCCCUCUAGAUGUGUGAAGGGGGAAAAAAGGGUGGGACUAAGGUGACACCUUCCCCAGAGGACAGACUUGGGAUGGCCAGUCCUUCCUCUGGAAUCUCCUACUCCAGCUAGGGAAUGAAGGAUUCCAUCUCUCUGGGUCUUAGAAUGUGGGUAUUUGAGGCAAGAGUGUGCAUCAGGAGUCCUCUCCUCUUCAUCCUGGAGUGGGAAGAGAUUACUUCUAAGGUGCUUCCAGUCAUCAGAGAAGUGUAGACUGCUGCUCAGUUAUUGACAGAUUCUCAUUCUGCAUCAUAAGUCAUAUGUUUCAGUACUCAAAUUUCAGGAUGGCUGAGAUAACAGAGAAGCAUCCAGCAGGUGGGAUACAGUGGUGCUUUUGGUCAAGGCACCUCCAUGACCAUGACCUGGCUCCCAGAUCUGCAGGCUGGUGCAGUUGUAUGCUCUGAGCCUGGAGCUGGUGAGACCAUCAUUAAGUCAAUAGAUGCCCCUAGCAGAUCCUUGGCCAGAGCAGGAAGGUGGGCUCCCAUCAAAUGGCUGCCCAGAAAUGCAGCAGGGCUUCCUGCCCACUGCACUGCCCACAAUAAUUUCAGGGUUUAAGUGUGAGGCUUUGAUCCCAGCUCUGUAUCUGUCCUUAUUCAGCACAAUGACCAAGUUGAUGACUUUAUAGCAGAGUAGCUUGGUUGGCCUAGGUCAUCCUGUGAAGCAAGGUUUGUGUUUGUCCCUUCACUGCAGAGAGGAAAAGACCCAUGCAAGCCCUGGCUUCACUCCUUUCUCUUCUGCUCCCUGGGGGUCAGUUUCCUGAUAAACAAAGGUUUGCUCUUGAUUUAUUUUCCUUCUUCUCAUUAUAUUUCAGGUUAUUUCUCCCAUGUGCACUUAUAUAAAGAUGCCAGCUUUGUUUUAGGAGGAAUACAGUGGUCCCCCUCCCCAUCUGCAAGGAUGUACUUCAAGACCAUUUGUAGAUGUCUGAAACUGCAGGUAAUACUAUCUUCCACAUAUACUGUGUUUGUUCCUCCACAUACACACCUAGGUGUCCAGAGCUAGAAGAAGAUAUUGCCUCAAUUAACCUGUUAGUAGAUGAGCCUCAAUUAACCUAUUCCUGGUGCUCUACUUUGCCCUUUGUUUAUCUUGAAGAAGUUUUUCUCUUACAAUAAAUCUCUGUGAUGUGCUUUCCUAUAAAUAAAAGGUGUUGGGCUUUUCUUCUUUGUUAAGAGAUCAGACUCUUAAGAUCUGAUCCACCUACCAUGCUCCCACUGUUAAACUAUUUUCAUGUUUUUGUUUUUAUUUCUAAACAUUUCUUUAGACCUUUAAUUUUCUCAACCAGUUCACACCUCCAUUUGGUUUACUGAUCCCUUGCUGUGUGGGACACAGCAAACUUUUCCUGGGUAAAGUUUAAUUUGUAAAUGAGACACAGAGAGAAACAAUGCUAAUAAAAUAGAACAAUUAUAAUAGCACACAGUAAUAAGAGUUAUGCAAACUAUAUGAAUUGUUUAUUUCUGGAAUUUUCCAUAUAUUAUAUUUGGACUAUAGUUGACUGGGUACUUGUAACCACAGAAAGCAAAACCAAGGAUAAGGGAGAACUACUUGAUAUAAAUUGAAUCCUAUACCUAUACAAAAUGUUCAACUCGUCUUGAAUCAUUUUAGUUUAUAAAGCAGUUUUCUGUUAUGAAAUCAGUGAAAGUUUCUUGUUCUAAAAAUUAUUUGUAGCUCCUCCAACCAGCCUCCAACCUUUUUAUUUGUGUAGUGUAUUGUCUCUGUAACCCUUUCCUCUUUUACAUCUGAAAAACAGCUACUAGUCCUUCCUGGCUCAGCACAGACACCCUCUCCUUGGAAGCCCCCACAGCCUGCACCCAGCAGCCCUGGUUCCACCUUGUCCUCUCCUUCCACUUUCUUCACAUUCCACUUCUGCCCUGGCCACUGACCCAGGCUUUGUUUUGUAGCUGUUUCUCCAGAGGAUGUUAUGAAAAACAUUUUCUGUAAGGAUAGUAUGAUAUAUGUACUUUGUUAAUGUCUGUGAGAACCUUGGGAGAGAAGAGACACAUGUGGAUUCUCUGCCUUCCAGGUUAAGGCCAAUCAAACUCCCUCAGCACACAGCAAGAACCAAGGACAAACAUGAGGGGCUGACACACCAGGAUGUCUCCUCCUAUCUUGUAGUUCCACGAAGUCAGGAGACUGUCUCGUGCAUCCAAAAACCAUCCUGCAAAGAAGAAGGAAAAGCACUAAGAAAUCUGAGCAUUCAACCCUCCAGAAGAGGCAACUGAGUCCAGCAGAGCCUGGAUUCUGGGAGUGAUUCUAUAAUUUGGCAUAGUUGUUAGACAAACAUCACACCCAACACUGCUUCCCUGAAGGUUGCUGACAACACUAAAAACAAAUAUGGCUGGUUAUUUAUGUUUGUCUCAUCUGUUAACUUUGGCUUAAUGGAGAAUAUGGAUGCUCUGAAGCUAGUGAGGGAGCAGGAAAGAACAAGAGCAUUUCCCUUCCAUGCUGUAUCUCCAGGACAUUCUGUCCAAACUUUGUUGUUUCAGAGCUUUACCCCCAGGUGCUACUCUAUCGCUUUUCAUAAAAACUGACUAAAUAAAGUUACAUGGCUUCCAAGAGAGGCCUCUGUGCACCAGCACAUGGACAUAUUUAACAUACACUCUUUUAACCUUUAGCCUGUCUACAGCACUUCACACAUGUAGUGCAUCUGAAGGGUUUAAAAAAUUUUUUUUCAGGAAAAAAAAAUGGUAGCUUCAAAUAGAACAUUACUUGGCCCUCAUAGGUCUAAAAUUUUUAGGAAGAACAAAUAAAUGUUUGUAUAUAUCAAACAUUUACAAAAACAAAAAUUUCCCUGUAUUUUAUUUGCCUUUAUACAAAUCUGGUUUGCAAGUCCCUUUACCGUGAUUUGAAUUGACCCAUUGGAUGGAACACAGGCCAAUUCCACCAGACUCCUGCCUAUGCCUAACAAUGGAAUUACAAAAAAAAUAAAAAAUAAAAUAAACAAACCAAAAAACCAAAAAACAAAAACCUAGAUUCUGUGGGAAAAAAAAAAUGUAAGGGAAAGAUUUGCAUUGAACAUCUAUGAUGAUACUGCUGAUUUAUAGCAGGAGUUUAGAUAUUUUAAAUUAUUUAUUUCAAGUUUUUAAAAAACAUUUCUUGAAUUCAGUGAAUUUUAUAUAAUAUACUAUUUGGGAAAUUUCAGAGUUCACAUAAUCAGAGUCCCAUGUUGUAAGAAGCCAUGUGAUACCUUAAGGACAAAUCUAAACAUUUCUCCCAAUCUAAUCACUUUUAUGUAUUUAUCUUGCUGAUGCCUAUAAUAUAAAUUUAUACUAAUAACUAUAUGAGAAUGAGAGACAAGUAUCUUAAUGCUAAAAUAAUUACAGUAUUAAAAGUAUUAGGCAAAUUAUUUCCUGGUUCCAACAACAGAUGAGGACAGUCUUCAUGAUCUGAGGAAAUAUGCUCGAUUGCUCGGUGCUGAAAAGGCUGAGAAUUACAGAGAAAAAAAAUAAACAAUUCAAUCAGUUCCAUUUGUCUCCAUCUACUUUAUGUUGUGUCAUAAAUAAUGUUUUUUUUUUUAACUGGGAAUUGAAUUUAGGUGCACUCAACCACUGAGACACAUCCCCAGCCCUAUUUUGUACUUUAUUUGGAAAUAGCGUCUCAGUGAGUUGCUUAGCACCUUGCUUUUGCUGAGGCUGCUUUGAACUUGAGAUCCUCCUGCUUCAGCCUCCCAAGCCACUGGGAUUACAGGCAUGUACUGUCACACCCAGCCAUGAUGAUACUGUAUUUUAAAUGCUACUUUAUAGAGUUCCAAUCAAAGUAGUUGACAAUUUCCACUGUCUCCAGGGAGGUCUCCCCUGCAGGUGAGCACUUUUGGCUUUAGAGACCAUGAUUUCACCAUCUGAGUUAAGAACAGAGCAGUCCAUGCCUGUAACAAAGCGUUUAUGCAAGCAUUUGGUGGUACAGAACAGUAAAAAAACCCCUCAAUAUAAUUCUUCUAAUUGAUUUCAACCACCUCUGCCAAAACUAUGGCUCUCUUCACCAACCUGAACUCUCAGGCACCAUGACUGAUGGGAUAAGAAAAUGGCACUGAAGGUUUGAAGAUGGAAGCAUCUGGAAUGCUCUGAACCAGCUGGAUCCAGGAUCCCUAGAGCAACAAUAACCACAGAAAAAGGAACUCCCUGCACAAGCAAAAUGUGGAAUGAAAGUCUCAAAUGGCUACUUUUGGAGAUAUUUUUCUGGGCACUUGAUUUUUUACUUUUGUCUGUAUACAUUUCGAAUACAAGUUUUCUUAAGGAGGUUUUGGGUUUGUUUUUCUUAUUGUUUGUUUGUUUGUACUGGGGAAUGAACUCAGAAGCCCUUAAAUUCUCAGCCAUAUUCUCAAUCCCUUUUUAAUUUUUUUUAAACAGGGACUUACUAAGUUACUUAAGGCCUCACUAAGCUGAUGAGGUUGACUGAACUCUCAUUCUUUCUACAUCAGCUUCCAGAGCUGGUGGGAUCAGAGGCAGGUGCCACCAUGCCUGGCUUAAGGAGGUUAUGAAGGAAAAACUAAAUAUUAUAGCAUGUUCUUGUUUAGAAUGCAUAAAUUUCAGCAAUCUUCUUUUGUAUGAGACAUAUUAAAUAUUUUUUUUAAUUUUAGGAAAUAUCAAUUUAAUUUUGAUGGAAGCAAAGUGAACAGUCAAAAUCAAUUUUUUUUAGAAAGUUACAUUUAUAUCUAAUGACAUCAAUUUUAUUAGGUAGUUGUAAGUUUUACUUCUUAAAAUCUAACAGUUUAAAAAUUUUUUAGUUUACCAUUGUGUGUGUGUGUGUGUGUGUGGUGCUGGGGAUUGAACCCAGGAUCUCAGACAUGCUAGGCAAGCAUUUUACCACUGAGCUAUACCCCCAGCCCUAGUUCAACCAUUUUGAGAUGGUAACAUUUUAAAAUGUAUGUUUCUUGGCAUACAACGAUAAGGCAUAUUGUGUCAGAAGAAUCACAUUAAGGUUUUUUUUUUCUUUUCUGCUUCCCCAAAUGCUUGCAUAAACCAAAAGAGCAUUUAAUUCUAUAUUGAAUGAUAAUAUUAAUCCAUUACUGUCUCUAUAAUAACCAGCUCUUCCAUUAGGGAACUUGUAAAAUACACUGGCUCAAGUGUGGCCACAAAAUCACUGGCCAUGAUGCUCAGCCCUUUGGGAGCUGCCUAUCUGCCCUUGGUACCUGGAGACACCUGAACUUUCCAAAAUUCUCUACUCAGCCCUCUUAGUACCCUUCAUAAGACCCCUUUCCUCUUUUGUCACAAAUGUGUUGCUAAGAAAUAUUUUAUCACUUUUCAUAAAUCAAUAGAAUGCAAUAUAAAUAAAUAAAUGAGUAAAAACACAAAAUUAUAUAAAUAAAACACAUAGAUAAUCCUUCAGAAGAAAUGUUGAUAUAUUGAGCUUUGUAAAUCACACUUCAGGAAUGAGCAUAAAGUCUGGUAGCAAUACCAGGAAUAUUUAUUGAAGCACACAUUACAUGCAAUCAGAGUAGCAAUACUAAACAUUAAACCUCAUCAGCUAAUUGCUACUGUCUUACAAAACAACUAAUUUAAAUAUGCAAAGAAAGUAGUCUGAAUACACAAGUUAAAUUUUGUACUACCAUUUCAUAAUGACUGCUUAUCAUAUUCUGAGCUGAUAACUUUUAAAAAUUGAAUACAAUGGAAAUAAGUGGAUCCUAAACUAGGAGAUUUUUUUACAACCUUCACAGUACUCACUGCAGGGGAGCCUAAAUCAUAAUGGGUUUCUGUCUCUGCAUAUCAGAAACAUAACAUGCAAGGCCCUGGGGCUUAUUUAAAAUUAUUAAAGUGUUUACUUUGUUAUUAUAAUCUUUACAACUACUGGGAAGUUUAGAUGUUAAGUUGGUAUGAAAAAAGAUCACCCAUGAACAGCCAGGUAAAGGGUCUUGAGGGAAGGAAAAGAGUAAAAGAGACUGGGAAAUCAAAGUUCUGACCCCAGCUACUCAGAGCCACAAGGACAGUUUCAUAACAGCCCCUAGACAUGACCAAUCAUAAAAGGUACUUGUGUUGUCCAAAAAGACCCUCACUCCCACCCUUGUGCUAACAAAGGGUUAGAAAUCGCUUAUCUCCAGAUGUGAAGAAUAAGACAAAACAAAGAAAGUUGACUGGCCAUUUCUGAACUCUAUAAUUCCAUCAAUCAACUACAGGGACAGAUCAAGCCCACGAAAACACCUAGACAACAGACACCUCUUCAUCUUUGGGAGUUCUGCUUUAUUUAUGUUAGUCUAAUAAAUCCUGUUACUUUUCUCUCACCCUUGUGUUCAUGGAUUUCAUUCUAUAACUUGGCAAGAUAAAGAACCCACCUGAUAUUCAUGCUCCUUGUUAUAAUACUGAAGUAAUC
Molecule: long non-coding RNA, 62431 nt
Filed under: Marmota monax (woodchuck)
Lineage: Eukaryota; Metazoa; Chordata; Mammalia; Rodentia; Sciuridae
Rfam family: tRNA (bases 53769-53837)
Source: RNAcentral